Molecule: long non-coding RNA, 45014 nt
Filed under: Lathyrus oleraceus (garden pea)
Lineage: Eukaryota; Viridiplantae; Streptophyta; Magnoliopsida; Fabales; Fabaceae
Description: Pisum sativum (pea) long non-coding RNA (PSAT_LNC038781)
Source: RNAcentral
AAAGAAAAAUAGUACUUAUUAUGCCACAUAAACAGGAAAUUUAAAUAAAAUAAAAUUCAUCAAGAGAAAUAAUUAUUUUUAUUAAAUGGGAGGUUAAAAAUAUUAAAAUAGAUUGUAAAGAUAAUAAAUCUUCCUUUCUUUGCAAUUAUUGAAACUGAAAAAAUAAACCAAAGUAACAAUUUUGUCAAGGUUAUGUAGAUUCCGAUUUUGAGUUGAUCCAGUAAAAAUUGAUUUUAGUAGGGAAGAUCACAAUUUGAUUUCCUACCCUUGUAAUUAAAGAAGAGUUAGAAUUUUUUGAAGUCAAAAUUUAUCUCUAAACUGAAUUUAUUGAUCCAGUAAAUCGGAUAUUAAUGGUGGAAAAAAAUAAUAACUAUGCGACAGUUUUGUUAUGCAUUUAACAAUUUAACAGUUUGUCUCUUAAGUCAAUUCAAGUUAAUGUUAGAAAUUAUAAUAACGUAUAAGGUAUAAAAAAGUUUGUAAAGAGUAUAAUGAAUAGAAAAAUAGGUUAUAAUUUUGUUCUAUAUAAACCAUUGAAACUAGUUUAUCCAUAACAUUUCUUUUUCCUGAUUAUAUUAUUUUGAAGCUUUUUGAAAUGGCCAAGUAUUCUUUCAUGCUAAUUAUCUUUUUUAUCUUCAUAUUUUCAGGUAUAUUAUUUCUUGUCUAACCUUUUGUAUAUAUAUUCGCCUUAGUUCCUCCGUUUCAGAACUAUUAAUAUUUGACUCUCUUCCUAGUCUUGCCCCGUGUGACUGAUGGUGUUUAAAAAUUUAAAAGGUACGAAGCACAGAGUACAUAUUUAUAUAUUUAGGUUAGCUGUGUAGCAGAGCCCGACAUAUAUCGGUGCUUCGCAUUUGUAUGGUUCUUGAUUUUGUUACUUUCUAUUUUGUUUAUGACAUCAUUCAUAUAUUUACAUAUUUAUAUGGUUCUUGAUUUUGUUAUUUUGUUGCAUUAUCAUUAGGGUCCGAAUAUAUUGAGAAGGUGAGAGUAAUGUGGAACAAGAUAAAACAAAAUAAUUUUAGGAUUAUGGUAUGUUUGUUAUAUUAGGUUUCAUUAGCAUCAGAAUCUGAAUCCUUUGGUUUAUUUCUAUCGUUGAAAUAAUAUGCAUCGGUAGAAUCUUGUUGGAAUUCAUUUUGAUUUCUUUUUAUUUGCGAAUGGUAACUUAAGCGAAACUGAAUCAUGGAAUUUUAUAGAUAAUGUUCAAUUUCGUUGGUAGAACUUGUUCAACGAAUCUGAAGCACGAGUUUCUAUUAAUCCUGUUGAGACGAGCUAGUUAGAUAUGACUAGUUGACUUAAGAAAAAAGUUACUACAAUAUUUUAUAUAUGACUGGUUUUGCAUUAUUGUUUGUGUUUAUCGGACGUGAGAGUUAUUUUUUUCUAAACGCAGCAUACAAAAUCACUCACAUAUGUUUUGUGAGCAUCAUACUCAAUUAAAGUGUAGAAUCCAAGUAUAGAUCUAAAUGAAGAUAACUACAUUCACACACACACGAUGGUGGGGUCUGGUUAGUAGUUAGCCUAUAUUAAAAGUCAAUAUCAUGAAUAUGAAAAGUCAUACCAACUGAUUCAUUGAUUCAUUUACUCCAUAAUGUUGAAAAAGUACUUGCAGUUAACUACAAAGAACAUGAAAAAGUAUCAUUAUAAAAACAGAAAAUUUGGUUUAGAGUUCUUCAAAGUUUCUAUUUAUUAGUACCAUAUAUAUUAUUAUUAUUAUUAUUAUUAUUAUUAUUAUUAUUAUUAUUAUUAUUAUUAUUAUGAAAGUAAACUGAUAUUUGUAUCCAAAACAAAGAUAAAUUGUGAGUGCCCUGAUUUAGGUUAGAGAUAAUCAGGUUAGAGAUACAUUAUUAAGCGAUUUUGCACAAAGCGAUUUUGCACAAAUUCUGUUUUAUUUAUACAAGGGAUUUUAUUUUUACAGGAAAUGUCAACAAAAGGAUCAUCUAAACUAAAGACUUUGUGCACAUUGUGGAAAGAUUUAGAUGAACCUUUUAAAGCAUAGAUUAACAAUAGAAUAGAAAAUUAUGGUGAAGGUUAUAAACUCUUAAGAGUUUUAAGGCUUGUCCAAGAUAACUCAUGUGAAUUUUCAACAUCAUUGUUUGGAUUGUUCAUGAGUUAUUAUGGACUCCAAGAAAAUUAUUAUUGUUUUCAUGUUUGUGGUCAAAACAUGAACGUCACAUUGGAGGACGUUCUGUUUUUGACCAACUUGCCCAUUACGGGUCGAGCACUUAUAUCUUGAAGCAAUAGAGACCAUAUGGCUUUUAACAGAAUUUUUUCUUUACCUGUCACUCAUAAACUUAAGUUAACAGUGUUGAAAUUUUUUUGCUGCGAUAUUAAUAAAAAUGAUGAUGAUAGGAUUAAGGUCGUCAUCCUCAUGAUCGUGUCAUGUCUGAUCAUUCCAAGUGGGGAUGGACAAAAUUUCAAAACCACCUACGUCCAAUUUAUUGAAAAAUUUGACGAAGUUGACUCCUAUGCUUGGGGAGCGGCAAUAUUGUCCCAUCUAUAUCAAGGUCUGAAGGAGAAUAAUUUACGGAAUAAGAAAGUUGACGGCUUUGUAUGGCUGAUAAUGGUAAGUGCAUAUUUUUUCUUAUAUCUUCUUUUUUCUUACCUCUUUGUUUGAUAACUUUUUAACCAACUUUAUUUUCAUAGAGAUUCUUCAUUUAUCAUUUUAAAGGUCUUUAUGAAAUCCUCAAUAUUAAUGCAAUUAAUGCGGAGGAAGAUCAUAUGCCUAAUACGCCACUAUUGGCAUAUUUGAUAAAAGAUAUUUUCAAACUCGGCCAAAACCGCCACACAAAACCUCAUCAUCAAUUAGGACAAAAGUUUCAGUUGAUACGUAACUUCUUGGAUAUGGAUCAUGAGGUAAGAAAUGAUUUAUAUAGCUUAUGUAGGUUGUGAUUUUGUGGGAUAAUGGUUGGUUAAUUUUUAGAUCAGUUGAUACGUAACUUCUUGGAUAUGGAUCAUGAGGUAAGAAAUGAUUUAUAUAGCUUAUGUAGGUUGUGAUUUUGUGGGAUAAUGGUUGGUUAAUUUUUAGUUUGUUAUCUUUAUCUUUUGUUUAUUGUAUAACACAGGAUAUAGAAAAUUUUCCUAUUACUUGGCAUCCCUAUACUGAACAAAUGCUGCCUCCCGACCUGCAUGAUCAUAUUCAAUACCGUACUAUCGUCGCCCCAUUGUUUUGCUACAACCAUGUGGAGCCUUAAUAUCCAAAUGUUGUAGCAAAACAGUUCGAGGAACUUUAUGAUAUUAACUUGAUCGGUGUUGGAUCUGAUAUGUGAGUGAUUAUUUCAAAGGGAAAUAAAGGAAAUAAUCCCAUCAAUUUUAAAGCACAUUUUAAAAAAGAGCUGAGACAAUGGGAGGAUAUCGAUAGGCGGUAUGCACAAAACUUCCAGACUAUUGAAGCAUCAACUUCUGAGACGGCAGAUGAUAUUGAAGCAUCCACUUCCGAGACGGCAAGUGAUCACCAAUCACCCAAUAUUGAGAAUAGCACUAGUGGAGGUAAAAUAUUUAAUUAUGUUAUGGUUUUAGUUUACUUAUUACUAUUCAUUAGUGUGGUGCAUGUUAUCUUAUGAAUAUAUAAUUACGUUUUUAAUUAAGAAAAUGUUGUUUUUGAUUUGCCAAAUUUUAACAAUGUGAUAGAUGCAUGUGAGAUGUUGGUUGUUGAUUUUGAAAAAUAUGAGAUUACCAUACUAUCGUCGCCCCAUUGUUUUGCUACAACCAUGUGGAGCCUCAAUAUCCAAAUGUUGUAGAAAAACAGUUCGAGGAACUUGGUGAUAAUAACUUGACCGGUGUUGGAUUUGAUAUGGGAGUGAUUAUUUCAAAGGGAAAUAAAGGCAAUAAUCCCAUCAAUUUUAAAGAACAUUUUUAGAAAGAGCUAAGACAAUGGAGGGAUAUCGAUAGGCGGUUUGCACAAAACUUCCAAACUAUUGAAGCAUCCACUUCUGAGACGGCAGGUGAUAUUGAAGCAUCCACUUCCGAGACGGCAAGUGGUCACCAAUCACCCAAUAUUGAGAAUAGCACUAGUGGAGGUAAAAUAUGUAAUUAUGUUAAGGUUUUAGUUAUGAAUAAUGAUAAGUAAUCAGCAGUGCAUGUUAUCUUAUGAAUAUAUAAUUACGUUUUUAAUUAAGAAAAUGUUGUUUUUGAUUUGCCAAAUUUUAACAAUGUGAUAGAUGCAUGUGAGAUGUUGGCGGUUGAUUUUGAAGCAUAUGAGAUUACCGUACUAUCGUCGCCCCAUUGUUUUGCUACAACUAUGUGGAGCCUCAAUAUCCAAAUGUUGUAGCAAAACAGUUCGAGGAACUUGAUGAUAUUAACUUGACCGGUGUUGGAUCUGAUAUGGGAGUGAUUAUUUCAAAGGGAAAUAAAGGCAAUAAUCCCAUCAAUUUUAAAGCACAUUUUAAAAAAGAGCUGAGACAAUGGGAGGAUAUCGAUAGGCGGUUUGCACAAAACUUCCAGACUAUUGAAGCAUCCACUUCUGAGACGGCAGGUGAUAUUGAAGCAUCCACUUCCGAGACGGCAAGUGAUCACCAAUCACCCAAUAUUGAGAAUAGCACUAGUGGAGGUAAAAUAUUUAAUUAUGUUAUGGUUUUAGUUAUGAAUAAUGAUAAGUAAUCAGCGGUGCAUGUUAUCUUAUGAAUAUAUAAUUACGUUUUUAAUUAAGAAAAUGUUGUUUUUGAUUUGCCAAAUUUUUACAAUGUGAUAGAUGCAUGUGAGAUGUUGGCGGUUGAUUUUGAAGCAUACGAGAUUAUCGUACUAUUGUCGCCCCAUUUUUUUGCUACAACUAUGUGGAGCCUCAAUAUCCAAAUGUUGUAGCAAAAAAGUUCGAGGAACUUGAUGAUAUUAACUUGACCGGUGUUGGAUCUCAUUUGGGAGUGAUUAUUUCAAAGGGAAAUAAAGGCAAUAGUCCCAUCAAUUUUAAAGCACAUUUUAAAAAAGAGCUGAGACAAUGGGAGGAUAUCGAUAGGCGGUUUUCACAAAACUUCCAAACUAUUGAAGCAUCCACUUCCGAGACGGCAGGUGAUAUUGAAGCAUCCACUUCCGAGACGGCAAGUGAUCACCAAUCACCCAAUAUUGAGAAUAACACUAGUGGAGGUAAAAUAUUUAAUUAUGUUAUGGUUUUAGUUAUGAAUAAUGAUAAGUAAUCACCGGUGCAUGUUAUCUUAUGAAUAUAUAAUUACGUUUUUAAUUAAGAAAACUGUUAAUUUUUGAUUUGGCGGUCAAUUUUUAACAAUGCUCUAGAUGAUUAUGUGAGAUGUGGGCGGUUGAUUUUGAAGCUCCAUAUGAGAUUCCGGUAACAUAGCACUCCAAGCAUAGGAGUCAACUUCAUCCAAUUUUUCAAUAAAUUGGACGUAGGUGGUUUUGCAAUUUUGUCCAUCCCCACUUGGAAUGAUCAGACAUGACACGAUCAUGAGGAGGAUGACCUUGAUCCUAUCAUCAUCAUUUUUAUUUAUAUCGCAGCAAAAAAAUUUCAACACUGUUAACUUAAGUUUAUGAGUGGCAGGUAAAGAAAAAACUCUGUUAAAAGAAAUAGGGUCUUUAUUGCUUUCAAAUAUAAGUGCUCGGCCCGUAAUGGGCAAGUUGGUCAAAAACAUGACGUCCUCCAAUGUGACGUUCAUGUUUUGACCACAAACAGGAAAACAAUAAUAAUUUUCUUGUAGUCCAUAAUAAAUCAUGAACAAUUCAAACAAUGAUGUUGAAAAUUCAGAUGAGUUAUCUUGGACAAGCCUUACAACUCUUAACAGUGUAUAACCUUCACCAUAAUUUUCUAUUCUAUUGUUAAUCCGUGCAUUAAAAGGUCCAUCUAAAUCUUUCCACAGUGUGCACAAAGUCUUUAGUUUAGAUGAUCCUUUUGUUGACAUUUCCUGCAAAAGAAAAAUCCCUUGUAUAAAUAAAACAAAAUUUGUGCAAAAUCGCUUCGUGCAAAAUCGCUUAAUAAUGUAUCUCUAACCUGAUUAUCUCUAACCUAAAUCAGGGCACUCACAAUUUCAUCUUUGUUUUGGUAAAAUAUCAGUUUAUUUUCAUAAUAAUAAUAAAAUAAUAAUAGAUAUAAGAAAUAAUAUAAUAAUAAUGAUAAUAUAAUAAUAACAAUAAUAACUAAUAAAUAGAAACUUUGAACAACUCUAAACUGAGCGGGGUAUUCGUUACCUUUAGAUUUAUUGACUAAAUCAAAAGUAAGCAUACAAUUUGAGUCGUCACCGCACUUCUAUUAAGGUUAGAAAAGCGAACAAAAACCGAGAAGUUUUAUCAAAUCAAAACUAAUAAAAAAGUCAGAGAUCUGGGUAAGGGGGUUGGUUAUGCAAUGGGAAGGUUUUAAGGCACCCAAAACAUCCUAGUACUCUAAGGGAACCCUUUUUGCAAGAUGUAUUGUGGUUGGUAUUUGUGAAAAUAUUUGUGCAAACAGAGGAUGGGAGAUGAGAAAAGAAUAUACAUAUUUACAAUUUUGUUGUUUGAAUGGAUAAACCCAUUGUCUACGUACCAUCCACAAAGAUAGGAUCAAAACUAGUAGUUCGGGGUAAAAUCUCAAAGAUUGGUGAAUUGUUUGGACAAAGCCUUAAGGUCUUUUGUUAUCAAGGGAGAAAACUCAACCUAAACCAACAAUCCACCAUGUGAGGAGGGCUUCAACAUACUAGUGAGGGAUCCACCCUAAUAAUAAGUAUGGAAGACUUAUAUCCAAUCACUAAGGAUAAGGUGAGGUUACAUCAAACCACUAUGAUAACUCAAACCCAUGGCUAAUGUUUAUGAAAAAGUUUUAACAAGGUGGCCAUUGGAACCACAAAAACACUUUGAAAUGAGUUGUAUUUACAAGUUAGAAAUAUUUACAAAAUGUAGUCAAAGUACGAUUAAGGUUCAUUCAAGAUAAGUAUUAACGAAAAGGGUUUGAAAGAUCAAAGGCAUGUGGCCUAGGUUCUAGUUUUGAAAACAAUGUCAAUGUUUGCACAAAAUGAGUUGGCUUGGGUUAGAGUGAGGAGAGAAAGAAGGGCUAGUCUAAAACAUGCAAAGAUGAGAGAAGAGAUAAAACCCUUGAGUUCCUUUCUUGAGAUCAUAAAGUGAUUCAGAAAUGCUUCUUCCUUUGGACAUAGCAAGCAACAAGCAAUCAAAGUAAAUAUUAUAUUCAAGCCCCUAGGAUCUCCAUUUGACUUGUCUCUCUAAACUUGGCUAUUCAUGACAAUGGUCUUCUUACUAUCUCAAGUUUGGAUUCCCUAUCACACAAGAACAAACAAUCAAAAAGUUCACAAUGCAAUAAGAGGAAUGGACAAAGAGUGAAUUUAGAUUAGGGGUCAUUUCAAGUCAACUUCAAGAUUAAGCAUUCUAAAGGCAUGAGGCCUUGUUGCUCUUCAACAAGUUUAGCAUUCUAAAGGCAUGAGGUCUAGUUGCUCUUGAACUCCAUUAAGCAUAGGUAAAGUCCUAAUUCUGAGUCUUUCUCCUUUUUGCAUUGGGCUCACACAAACAAAGAUAAAACAAGCACAAGCAACAAUAUAUUACAUAAUAAUGUGCUCAAAUGAGCAAAGGGAAAAUGGCAGAAACAUAAAAUAUCAUCUCAAGUGAGCAAAGGGAAAAGGCAAUAUGAAUAAAUGAGCAAGAAAGUAAAUGCAUUAAGUAAAGAAAGAUCAUUCUUAAUUCCAACAUAUUACAAUAUGAAAAAAAAACAUCAGAUAAAACAAAAAUAUCUGCAGAACCAUAGAAAACAAAACCAUAGAAGGGAAAAUAGUAUCUUUAUCAUAUAGAUAGACCAUUAUAUUUUGGAUGUUGUGAAAAAUUGUUUCGUUGUCCCCUCUCAUCAGAUCAAUGAUUUAUUGGUGGAUAAGCCUAGAAUCUAUAGAUCAAUGAGGUUAAUAAAGUGAAUUACAAUUUAAAAGCUAAAAAUUCAUAUUUUUUUAAUUAGGUAUGGUUGCAUUUUUUGUUUCACACUUUAAUAUUACUAGAGAAAUAUGGAAGUCUGCUCAAGUUACCCAUGAUGGUACACACAAGAUUGAAGGGUUAGGAUUAACAUAUUAAUCAAUGGAAAAAUAAUAGCUUAGAAUGAAACCUCAAGAAAAUCUAAGAUAUGCAAAAUUGUUUCAUGCAUAUAUUACUUCACUUAAGAACUUUGAGUAAAUUUUUACAAUUUGGAUUUAACUAAAAAAAGUCCUUAGAUGUUUAAAGAUAUGGAGUCUAAAUAUUCGUCUUCUAUGAAUUUGACUACUCUAUUGGUAAAUUGCAUGAACACGAGACAUAACUAACAUAUUGCUGAACGAGAGAAGGUGGAAAAAAUACUUGCGCUAAGAUAUAAAGGUUAAAGAUAUGGAGUCAGAAAAUUAAAUUUCCAAAAUGAAAAUGAUGAAAACUUGGAUCUUCUAUUUUUUCAAAUUCAAAAAAUUUCCAUGGAAUAGAAAAUAAACCUCCAAACAUUCAAAAUCAAAGUAAAGAAAGAUCAUUCUUAAUUCCAACAUAUUACCAAUGUGAAAAAAAAACAUCAGAUAGAACCAAAAUAUCUGCAGAACCAUAGAAAAUUUUAAAUAUACAGAAUACCACAAAAAUCAAAAGGAGUUUAUGUUUAAUAGAUGAAAACAACAUUGACUCCUCCAAUGACCGAGAAAAAGGGAAGAAAGCAACUUGUCUUCCAUGGAAAAUCACAAAAAAAUAAAGUAAAUAUUAUAACUUUUCACUUUAUUUAUUUGCAUUCUUCUCAAUUUGUAAGAGUUAAAUAAUAAAUAAGUAAUUAAAAAACAUUGUUAUUGUGUCUAAAAGACUAUCUCCUCUAUUGAAAAUGAAAAUGAAAAUGAAAACUAGAAGAGGAAAUAAUUCGUCUUAAAGAGAAAAUAAUAAUUAAAAUUCAAGACAUCCCUCUGUUCCUUAUGAUAAUAAAUUUAAAAAUCUAUCAAAUGUGUAAAUUGCAAAGUGUUAGAUUUUAUUUUUUGAAAUAUUUCAUAACACACAUGAUAAAAUCAAUAAAGAGAAAGAUAAUUGGAAUAUCAUUUUAGAUAAUCAAAAUGGAAUUUUAAAGAUUUUGUAACUCAAAUGAGAUUGAUAAUCAUAAUGCAUAAAUACACUUAUUGUAAACAUGAUCUAAUUUCACCUCUUGUUUUAUAAGGAAAAAUCAUGAAACUAGUAUGAAAGGGACUUCUAGAAAUAGAAUGAUUUCGCUAGAAUAAGGCAAAAUGAUAAAAAAUGAUUUGUGUACCAAAGAUCAAGACAUAUGUUUUGAUAUAUGUGUGUUUUAAACUCAAAUUCAAAAUGGUAUAUCAAUAGUAAUUGUUCAAAGCAGGUGACAAAAACAAAAAUAGUCAUCAUCUUAUACUCCAAGAGGUGAUGCCAAAACAUUAUGGUGACAAAAUAAAGUAAAUGUGUUGGUUCUAGUAUGUUUGAUAAGAGUUCAAAUCUUACUUUUGAGUUGUAUUAUUUUGAAAGUAAUAUAACAAAUUACUAGUAUUAAAAAAAAGUGUGACAAUAGUAAUGACAUAUGCCUGAUUCUUCUAUGUGGAGAAUCAUAAAAUUGGAAAACAAUUUUAUUUUAAAGUAAACUUUUUUCAAGAAAAAGAAUAUCAUAUCUAUAGAAAAUUCAUACAUAAUACAUUUUAUAAAUAAACCUCAUAUUUAAACUAAGAACAAACUUCUUAGAAGAUAAAUAUAUAGACGAAGAAUAAACUUCUUAGAAGAUAAAUACAAAAAAAGAGAACAAAUGCAAUAAGGGACAACCUCAAAAGGGAGUGAUUAAGACCAACCCUAAAUAAAUGAUAAGGAUAUGAAAAUCUAAAAGUGAAUGUUCCAUUUCAAAUAUCAUCAUGGUUAUCUCUAUAAACAUUGAAAUUUUUAUUUUACUCUGACAUAAUCACAUCAUUCACAUAUUUAAAUCACUUAGCAUUUAGUUAUCACUUGUUUAAUAUACACAUUAGGGCGUGCCUAUGAAUGUUUUUGUUUUUGUGAUUUUGUUUCUUUCAAAUUCUUUGAUUUGUUUUGCAAAUUCUCUUGUCAUAUUUGACCUCUUGGAUGAUAACUUUCAUUUAUGUUUUGUCAUAUUUGCUAGAGAUUAUCACAAACUUGAUUGGAUUUGUUUAUUUAUUUUAGAACCUGAUGAUAUACAUAACUAAUACAUUUCUUGAAUGAGUAGUAAGGGCAUUAUUAUUAUUAUUUAUUAUUAUUAUUAUUAUUAUUAUUAUUAUUAUUAUUAUUAUUAUUAUUAUUUGUGUUCUUUCUUAGAUGAUUGUGGCCCUUUUUGAAUUUUUCAUUAUUGUCGAAAUUAUGGUGAAAGUGAAAUAACUCCAUAUUCUUCUAGAAGUGCUUCUAUCAUGGAAGACUUUACAAAAAUAUCGAAUACUUAACUGAAUUGCUUGAAAAUAAAAUAGCUUAUCAAUUAAAGAGCGUGAUAUUUUAAAAUUUCAAGGGAGAGAAGGAGAAUUCUAGCUAGGCAAUUUGAUGAUUGAGAUGAAUUAAAAUAAACUUUGAGAAAGACAUACAUCAUCUCAUUAUUAAAGGGAACUCCAUAAAAGAAUCCAAAGGAUAAUAAGUAAGGUCAAGAGUGGAGAGAAUACAUAGAGACUUUGAGAAUUCCACUAUAACAUUAGAGAGGAUAAGAUAUUAUAAGAGUUAGGUUUAAACUAUGAGAUUAAAGAUGUUAUUGAAUUUGUUCAUAAUUAUAGAAGUUUGUUCAUAUGUCAUCCACUUAAUAAAAUAUUCCUCAAACAAGAAAUUAUCGCAUUGAAAGGACAAACACAAGAGGGAGGAGAUUCUACACUAACAUUGGCUAAGAAAGAAGUUUUUAAAUGAAAUGUUUGAAAUAUUUAACAACGGUCACAUAAAAUCAAUUACUCAAAGAAAAAUAAUGAUUGAAAAAAAAGUACUUAUUAUACACAUAAAACGGAAAUUUAAAUAAAAUAAAAUUCGUCAAGGAAAUAAUUAUUUUUAUUAAAUUGGAGGUUAAAAAUAUAUAAAUAGAUUGCAAAGAUAAUAAAUUUCCUUUCUUUGCCGUUAUUGAAACUGAAAUAAUAAACCAAAGUAAUAAUUGAUGUUGAUUUUAGUAGAUAUCAUAAUUCGAUUUUUACAGUUGUAAUUAAAAAAAAUAUAGUUUUACGACAGUUUUGUUAUGCAUUUAACAGUUUUUCUCUUAAAUCAAUUUGAGUUAAUGUUAGAAAUUAUAAUAACGUAAAAGUUAUAAAAAAGUUGGUAAAGAGUAUAAUGAAUAGAAAAUAUGUUAUAAUUAUGUUCUAUAUAAACCCUUGAAACUAGUUUAAUCAUAAAUUUUUUUCCUGAUUAUAUUUUGAAGCUUUUUGAAAUGGCCAAGUAUUCUUUCAUGCUAAUCAUCUUUUUAUCUUCAUUUUUCAGGUAUAUUUUUAUAUUAAAAUUUGUAACAUUUAACUAUAUUAUUUUUAUAUUAAAAUUUGUAGCAUUUCUUAUCUAACCUUUUAUAUAUAUAUAUAUAAUAUAUAUAUAUAUAUAUAUAUAUAUAUAUAUAUAUAUAUAUAUAUAUAUAUGACAAUAAUGAAUACAAAUGUCAUUUGAAAGAAUACAUUAUUUUACAUUGAAUCUUGUGUGUAACUUCCCACUUCUGUUAGGCUAUGAAAUAAUAUUUAAAAAAAAAUUUAAGUUAAAUAUUCAAUUUUCAGAUGUCAUCUCAUUUAAUUAUUAAUAUUCACACUUUUUAAGUUAAAAUUUUGAAAUUUAGAUAUUAUCUCAUAUUCAAAUAUUAAUAUUGUUAAAUAAUUAAGUUUGAGAUAUCAUCUCAUAUUUAAAUGUCAAUAUUCACAAUUUUUAAAGUUAAAUACUAAAUUUUUAGAUAUUAUUCUUAUUCAAAUAUUAAUAUUUACGACUUUUUAAGUUAAAUAAUCAAAUUUGAGAUACCAUCUCAGAUUCAAAUAUUAAUAUCACAUUUUUAAAAUCAGAUAUUCAAAUUUCAAAUAUCAUCUCAUAUUCAAUAUUAAUGUUACAAAUUUUUAUGUUAAAUAUUAUAAUUUUAGAUUAUGCUAUUAAUAUCUCACUUUAUUAAGUCAAAUGUCUGUAAUUUUACACACAAUAUACCAACAAAACACAAAAGUAUUGAAAGAUUUGAAAAUAAUAUAAUAUUUAAAAUUUAAAACGUGGGUAUAUGUUUCUUAAUGAUUUUGAUUUAAAUAACAUUUAAUGUUUGUAUUUGAAAAUAUUAUUCCUUCUCCAAUAUUGUUCAAAGAAAUAUAACUUUUCUAAAUACUUUUUCUUUAGUUGUUUUUUCAUGCUAAUUAUGCUCUUUUUUUUACAGUCAUAUCAAUGACAAAUGGAUAGACAGACCAAGAGAAUGUUUUAAAACUCGUGAGGGACAAUGCAUCCUUAAUGCGUGUGGAGCAUGGUGUUAUCAAAUUUAUAAGGGUUAUGGAACUUGUAUACAAGGUGGUACAGAUCCUAUAACCCAAUUUAUAAAUGUAUUUGUAGAUAUAUUGUUGCCACCUAGAAUUAAAAACAUCACCUUUAGAUCAUAUUUUUAAAUGUAGAAGAUAUCAGAAUAAAGAUGAUAAAUUUGAGGCAAUUCAAUUAUUGAUAGUUUAUUUAAGUGUUUCUUAUAUUUAUUGUAAUUCAAGACAAAAAAAUAAAUAUAAGAUUGUUUUAUUUUAUGAAAUUUUGAUUAUAGUAUAAGCCUUUUAUCUCAAAAGUGUUGAAAAAUAUAUAACAAAACAAUGAAAAAAUUUAUUUGGUUUAAUUUAAUCUUUAAAAGUAAAGUCAAUCUCUUAAGAAAUAAUUAAAAGUCUAAUCAUCCAAUGAGGAAUACUCCAUGUUAGAGUUUUGAAUCAGGGUUCAUGGAGAUAUUAGAUUGAGAUGAAGAUGAUAGUUGGUUAACCUUUACAUUGUUUACGAGAUCCUAUUUAUACAAGUAGCAUUUUAGUGAUAGAGUUUGAUUCAUGUAGUAACUAACUUCAUAAGAACAUUAACUACAAUUUUAACUACUUAAGCAAACUUACAUCUAACAUUUUUCCAAUACUCCCUCACAUACAUAUGGCGGAUGGAAUGAAAACACCUUGAGUUUGGUUCAUUAACUACAAUUUUAACUACUUAAGCAAACUUACAUCUAACAUUUUUCCAAUACUCCCUCACAUACAUAUGGCGGAUGGAAUGAAAACACCUUGAGUUUGGUUCAAAAAUCAGAAAAUAAAGUAGUCAAGAGUGGUUUUGUUAGCGCGUCCGCAAUAUGAGAAUGAAUUGGGACAUGUUGAAUGAGUAGUCGCUUCUCAACAACUUUCUCAUUGACGAAGUGAAUAUAAAGCUCUAUAUCCUUCGUUCUUGCAUGAAGGAUUGGAUUAUGAGACAACAUUACAUCACUGAGAUUGUCACAUAACAAGGUGAGAACUAAGUAAGGAAUAUGUUGUCACUACUGUAAAAUAAAUCUUUCGUAACACUAAAUUACAACGGUAUGACUGUUAACCGUGGUAAUACCAUAUUUUUUGACGUACUUUGUUUUUUCUAUUUAUGAAAAAAACCUUGCACUACGGUUAAACUAAUUAACCAUGAUUAUAUAUUUUUGGAGUGACUGAGUUCAAAUCUCAGCUCCGACAAUUUUCUACUCUUUCGUUACAAUAAGUGUUGUCCUUAUAAUAUGAUAUAUAAAUUAAGAUUAAAAUACCUAUCACCAUGGUUGUUAAUGUCAAUCAUUUUGAAAGUCAUUACAUUUCAUCACGAUUUUUGAAUACGACCGUGAUGAAAUUGUUUACUCAUAUAUAAGCGAAUUAGUUCUCACAGCAAAACCGUAACACACAUUUUCUCUCUUCUUCUUCGUCAUUAGCUUUUCUAUUCUACAGUAUAACCUCAAUCUUGUUCUUCAUAAAUAAACAUAUUCUUCUUCUUCCUUGUUCUCUCGUUUUCGUGUAUGUUGUUGUUAUGUUUUACAUUAUUUUUACAUGAUUUUCUUCUUGUUCGAGAGUUUAUGGUUUUUUUAUGUUGUUGUUGUUGUUGUUGUUGUUGUAUGUUAUAUUAAAAAAUGGUUUUCUCUUCUUGUUCAAAUUUCAGAUCAUUCUCUCAGAUUUCAGAUUCUUCUCUCAAAAUGAAUAUUGGGAGCAACAAACUUAUCCACGAGAUUGAGGUUACAAAUGAGGUUAUUGAUAUGUUUGAGUUAUGGAUGAACAAAGCCAAGGAAGCCAGAGUUGUUAGAGAUCAUAUUAGUGUUAUUGAACCGUUUGGUGGAAUAGAUUAUAAGAAGAUUCUUUUCAAGAAUCUUAACCUUGAAAAGAUGAAGAAGAUAUAGGCUAUUAUGAAAGAUCUAAUGAAUAUGGAUGCAACUGAUUCUGAAUCAGAUUAUGAAUCAGAUGAUGACCUUGAGAACUAUGAAGACAUUGAGAAUUGCAUGAAUUUAACUAGACAUGAAGAUUGAAGACCUUGUUAUGUUUAACAUGAAUUGCACGAAUAAUGUUAAGUCAUUUUAAAGAUUUUGUCACUCAAAUGAGAUCUAUAAUCAUAACAUGCAUAAAUACACUUGUUAUGGUAAACAUGAUCUUAUUUCACCUUCUUGUUUUAUAAGGAAAAAUCAUGAAACUAGUAUGACAGGGACUUCUAGAAAUAGAAUGGUUUUCAGUAGUACUAAGGCAAAAUGACUAAAAAAUGAUUUGUCUACCAAAGAUCAAAGACAUAUGUUUUGAUACAUGUUUGUUUUAAACUCGAACUCAAAAUGGUAUAUCAAUAGUAAUUGUUUAAAGCACGUGACAAAAACAAAAAUAGUUCAUCAUCUUAUACUCCAAAAAGGUGAUGCUAAAACUAUUAUGGUGACAAUAAUAAAGGUAAAUGUGUUGGUUCUAAUAUGUUUGGUAAGAGUUCAAAUCUUACUUUUGAGUUGUUUUAAUUUUGGAAAGUAUAUAACAAAAUUUACUUAGUAUUAAGAAAAUCGUGUGACAUUUUUCCGGAUUCUACUACGUGGAAAACAACUUUUUUUAGUAAAUCUUUUUCAAGAAAAAAAUAUAUCAUGUCUAUAGAAAAAUUCAUACAUAAUACAUUUGAUGAAAUUACCCUCAUAUUUGUUUUGGAAUUAAAUUUUUUUGUUUUUGUAGAUAGACUAAGAACAAACUUCUUAGAAGAUAAAUACAAAAAUAAGGAAGAACAAACACAAAUAAGGGACAACCUCAAAAGGGGAGUGAUUAAGACCAACCCUAAAUAAAUGAUAAGGAUAUUGAAAAUCUAGAAGUGAAUGUUCCAUUUCAAAACAUCAAUCAUGGUUACCUCUAUAAAUCAUUGAAAUUUUUAUUUUACCAUACCUCUGACAUAAACACAUCAUUCACAUAUUUAUAUCACUUAGCAUUUAGUCUCAUCACUUUAUGAGUUGUUUCAUUUACACAUUAGGGCGUGCCUCUGAUUGUUUUUGUUUUUGUGCUUUUGUUUCUUUCAAAUUCUUUGAUUUUGUUUUGCAAAUUUCGCUUGUCAUAUUUGGCCUCUUGAAUGAUAACUUUCAUUUAUGUUUUGUCAUAUUUGUUAGAGGAUUAUCACAAACUUGAUUGAGAUUUGUUUAUUUAUUUUAGGAACUUGAUGAUAUACAUAAUUGAUACAUUUCUUGAAUGAAUAGUAAGGGCAUUAUUAUUAUUAUUAUUAUUAUUAUUAUUAUUAUUAUUAUUAUUAUUAUUAUUAUUAUUAUUAUUGUAGCGGGGUAUUCGUUACCUUUAGAUUUAUUGACUAAAUCAAAAGUAAACCAUACAAGUCGAGUCGCCACCGGACUUCUAUUUAUCCAAAGGAAAGAUUAGAAAGCGAACUAAAACCGAGAAGUUUUACGAAUCAAAAACUAAUAAAAAUGUCAGAGAUCGGGGUAAGGGGGUUGGUUAUGCAAUGGGAAGGUUUUAAGCACCCAAAACAUCCUAGGUACUCCUAGGGAGCCCUUUUCACACUUGUUGUAAGGUUGGUAUUUUGUGAAAAAUUUGUUUGUGCAAACAUGAUUGAGGAGAUGAGAAGAGAAUAUACAAGUUAUUUACAAUUUGUGUUUGGAUGGAUAAACUCAUUGCAUACGUACCAUCUUAAAAAAGAUUAGGAUCAAAACCUCAUAGUUCGGGGUAAAAAUCUCAAAACAAGUUGGUGAAUUGAUUGGGUCCAAAAGCCUUAAGGUCUUUUGUUAUCCAAGGGAGAAAACUCAAGCUAAAAACCACAAAUCCACCAUGUGAGGAUAACUUCAACAUGCUAGUGAGGGGUUAACCCUAUAAUAAGCAUGGAAGACUCAUUGUCCAUCACUAAGAAUAUAUGUGAGUAUUACAUCUACCUCAAGGAUAACUCAAACCUAAUAGCUAAAGGUUAAGAAAAGUUUUUGAUAAGAAAGUGGCCAUUGAAACCACAAAAGUAUUUGUAUGGGUUAUAUUUACCAAUGAAAAGUAUUUACAAAAUAUAUGGUCAAAGUUGACUUAAAGAUUCAAUUCAAAAUAAGUGUUAUGAAAAGAAAGUUUGAAAAUCAAAAGCAUAAUGCUUAGGUUUCUAAUGUUUGAAAACAAGUGUUAAUAUUUGCAAAAAAGUUUUGGCUUGGGUUAGAGUGGAGGGAAGAAGAAGAAUGGCUAAAGUCUUAAUCAUACAAGAGAUGAAGGAGAAUAAAUAAGACCACAAAUGGAGUUCCCUUCUUGAGAUCAUAUUGAUGAUCCAAGUAGCUCCCAUCCUUUGGAAUAAGCAAACAAAUAAGUAUAAACUCAAGCAAUCAAUCAAGCAAGCAAGCUCUUAGAAGAUCCCCAAUAGCUCUUAGAUCUCUUCUCUUUAGAAGCUCAUGACAAUGGUUCUUCAAUUUGGCUCAAAUAGGAUUCCCUAGCACAAAAGCACACACAUCAAAAAGUUCCAUGAAGUAAAUCAAGAAUGGACAAGAGUGAGUUUAGAGAUUUGGUCCUUCUAAUCCAUCUAUUCAAUUUGGCUCAAAUAGGAUUCCCUAGCACAAAAGCACACACAUCAAAAAGUUCCAUGAAGUAAAUCAAGAAUGGACAAGAGUGAGUUUAGAGAUUUGGUCCUUCUAAUCCAUCUUCAACAUUUAGGCAUUUUUACUCCAUUUUUGCAUAGGGAAUGUCCUAGAAUCUAAGUCCUUUUUGUCCAUUUUGGUCCACAACAAUCAAAACAAAAGCACAAGCACAAUAAUAUAUACAACAUUAUAUGCUCAAGUGAGCAAAAGGCAAAUUGCAUUAACAUAAACAUGUGCUCAAAUGAGCAAAGGGCAAAAGCAAAUAAAUAAUAUGUACAAGAAUAGUAAAUUGCAUAAAUGUAAAGUGCAAGAAUUAAAUGUUAAUGGUUAAUGGUUAGUGUUAGAGUUAGUGUGCCAUAAGGCAAUUUAACGCUAUGUUAAGCAAUCGUAAUUGGACUUAUGUAGAAGUCACAACUAUCUGAGACCGGUCAAUAAUAAUGUAGGAAACAACACAAGUUAGAGAUUUUGAUUAGUGAAUCAAACUCCUACAACUUGCCAUGCCAAAAAGAAGAUGAGAAAUGAUCUUGUAUUGAUUUAGGUUCUUUGCUUGAUUAGGAAGCAACCUACACUUAAUGCAAAUUCAUUCACUUGAUCCAUGAUCAAGAUGAAUUAGAUUUGAAUCAAGGAAGGUUAGACCUCCCAUACAUCAAGGCUAACCACCAAUCUUUAACUCAUUGAUCAAAAAAGAAAAACAAGAAGAAGAAAAAGAAGAAGAAGAUGAAUAUUAAAGUACAUUAAUGGAAAUGAAAUGAAAUAAUCAACAAACAUUGACCAAGGAUAGAGAAGAUCAAGGUCAAACAAUGGUAAACAGAGGCAAAAUGGAGAUUAGAAGUCAAGAAACAAAUAAAAUUUUUUUGAUAUUUUUUAAAAGUAAAAUAAUACUUGAAUUGAAAUAAUAAAGAAAGGUCAAACUUCAAAAUCACUUCAAAUCAACUUUGAAAAGUCCAAGUGAAUUAUCCUAAAUUCAACAAGGUCAAACAAAGUUUGACAAAAAAUUUCAGCAUUUUUAGAAGUCAGAAACUAUUUUUAAUCAAUUAAAAAUGCAUAUAAAUAACCUAAUUGAAUUAAAAUCUCAAAUCAAUUAAUAAAUUGAUGAGAAUAUUUUUCAUAGAUCUAUCAUCAUUCAAAGAGGUUGGAAAAAUAUUUUUGUAUUUUUUGAAUAUCAAAAACUAUUUAAUUAAAAUCUCAAAUCAAUUAAUAAAUUGAUGAGAAUAUUUUUCAUAGAUCUAUCAUCAUUCAAAGAGGUUGGAAAAAUAUUUUUGUAUUUUUUGAAUAUCAAAAACUAUUUUAAAUGAAUUAAAAAGAACCAGAAAAAGAGAAAAUUCCUAAAAAAAUAUCAAAUGAUAAAAUAAAAAAAAUUAAAAAUCACUUUUGGAAACUAGAAAUUAAAAGAAGAAAAAUGCAAUUGGUCUCACAUUUUUUGGACCAAUAAUGGAGGAGAUAUGAAUUUUUUAAAUGAAAUGGAAUUAAAGAAAUAAAAAGAAAUUAAAAUAAGAAAUUAAAAUAAUGAAAAAAACGUGGAGCGUUGGAUGCAAAGCUCAUUAAUUGAGCUGGAAAAUCGCUUGGUCCACAUAUGCGUGCCUACCAUGUACCUUAGUCAAUGUAAUCACACUUGGCCUUUAAACAAGUCAUAACAUUGAGUGACCUGGAUUAAAUCUGGAAAAGCAAAUGCACGGUUCAGAUUCAAUCUGGAGACCAGACGGUGGUGUACACCACCGUCUUCAUCCGGCCAACUUCCGGCACUGGUCAAAUUUGCAGAGAAAUAAAUGUGCAUGAAAAGCCACGAUCCAGGUACCAAACGAAAGCUGGGGUGAUGUACAUCACCCCUAUGCCAACCAAAUCCACUCUAGAUUCCUAUUGAGAGAGAAAUCAGAGGUUGAAUUUCAUGGAGUUCAACUGAAACUUGUUGGAUUUUGAAAUUUCAAAGCUCAAAAAGAUUGCCUCUAUGAAGAGGACUUCAAACAACACAGCAACAACAAGAAACAAGCAAUAUAUUAGUGGAUUCGAAGAAAAUAAAAUCUGAAGUAAACCUCUGAUUUGCAGAGUUUGAGAGCACGAUUUCUUGGUGAUUAAGCUUGCAGUGUGAUCUAUGGAUUAAGGUAAGCAAGGCUAAGGAACUUUAGAUCUAAAAAUCAAUAAAUGAAAUUGAAGUUUAGAUCUGAAAAAAUUGAGAGAAAAUGGUGAGUUCCUUUGAUUAUGGGUGAGGAAUCAACCGUGCAGCAUGUAAGGCGCCUUCAGGUUAUUGAAAUGAGGAGCAUAAGGCACUUAUUUAUAGCAAAAGGCAUGGCUGAAAGCAUGAUCAUUUCAUUGCAUGGAUGGAAAGGGCCUCCAUGCAUGGGCCUGUACAGGCGCAUGGAGGGCCCAAUUCCACUUGAAUUUGCAAGCUAAUCAUCAGCAGAUGUAAAUUGGACGUGCAGAUGGUGUAUGUUAGGUCAUGCAAUGCAAAUUUAAUUGAUUUUCAAAAAUGCACCAAUAUGUUCAUGCUUUCGAAAAUGCCAUGUCCAUACUUGAAACACAACCUUAUGAGUAAUGGUUGGACAACUUUUUGCAUGAGGAUCAUUUGUUAUGUUGAUCAAAACUUCAUUUGAAACUUGGAAAUUGAUGAAAAAUGAUCAUGAAGUGUAGGGUGCAAAACAUGUACAUGUGAAAACUUCAAAAAUGGUCAAACUUUAAGCAAUCCUGUUUCAAUGAUGCAAGCUCCAAAUGAUAAAAUCUUCAACAUCAAAGUUGUAGAUAUUUUCAAGACAAUAAAUAUGGACUUAUAUUUUGCAUCAUUUAUAUUUUUGAUGAAGAAGUUAUGGGCACUUGAAGUUGGACUUUUUCACAUUUCAAUGCUUUUGGUUCAAAGUGACCUAUAAUGUUUUGCAUUAUCACAUGUAUUUCUUUUAGGAUUUUGAAAUUUUGCUCAACAUAACAUUUUAAGUAGACAACUUAAUCUUUCCAAUUCAUUUAAUAUCACCUCAAAAUCAUGAAAAAUGAAGGAGCUAUGUCCUUGGGAAGUUGACCCAAAAUUAGGGUUUUAGUCAAAAAUGACCUAUAAUGUUUUGAAAUGGAUGAUGACCUUCCAAGCUUCAAAUAAUUUUUAUGAACAUGAAAGUUGUUCAUAAGAUUCUUAAGAACAUUGUUUCUCUUGGGGUUACUCCAUUUGACAAACACAUUAAAAGUUAGGUCUCAGUGUACUUCAAAAUAGUCAUAUGAAUUGACUGAUCAACUUCUCAAGUCUACACCUCAUACUCUUGAUGAAUUGAUGAUUGAGGAUACUCAAGUAGUUCAAAUAUGCAUGAAAUGAUGAUUUAAAGAACUUCCCUUGAUUGCAUUUGAUCAUAGGUUGAGGUUGCUUCAUGAGCAACGCAUAGUUGAUGAACAGAUAAAUUACGGCUUCCUUGGGAAACAAACCUCAAACCCUUUGGUUUGCUUUGAUCAAAAUUAUGAAUUGAGAUACUUGGGAGGCAUAUUUGAUGUAUGAGAGCUUUGGGAACCAUUGACAUGCUUGCUUUCAUCUUCCCUUGACUAUAUCAGUGCACCUAGGAUCUCCUAGAAGUUUUGGAUCUUGUGACUGCUCAAGCUACAAACAAAAGAUGUUAGUGACAUAUUUUUGUGUUUUUGGUUAGUGAAUAAAAUGAGAGAAGCAAUAAUAUACAAUUCAAGUAUGCUUGGUGAUCUCAAACCAAUUCUCAAAAGUUCCCACCCCAAAGGUAAGAAGCCAAGAUGCUUAUGAUCCUUGAGGCAAAAUGCAAAUGCAAUGAUAUGAUGCCAUGAGGGAUCUUAGGGUCAAAAUUGGGAUCUUACAAUUAUUAUUAUUAUUAUAUUGUUUGUGUUCUUUGUUAUAUGAUUGUGGUCCUUUUUGAAUUUUUUGUUAUUGUUGAAAUUAUGAGUGGAAGUGAAAUAACUCCAUAUUCUUCUAGAAGGGCUUCUAUCAUGGAAGACUUUACAAAAAUAUUGAAUACUUAACUGAAUUGCUUGAAAAUAAAAUAGCUUAUCAAUUAAAGAGCCGUGAUAGUGCAUUAUGAAAAAUAUUUUCAAAAAUUUCAAGGAGAAAAGGAGAUGUGUAGCUAGGCAAUUUGAUGAUUAAGAUGAAUUAAAAUAAAUUUUGAGAAACACAUAUACAUCAUCUCAUUAUUAAAGGGAACUCCAUAAAAAAUCCACUAUAACAUAAGGUUUCAAGAGUGUGGAGAAUUACUAUAGAGACUUUGAGAAUCCACUAUAACAUUAGAGAGGAUAAAGAUAUUAUAAGAGUUAGGUUUAAACUAUGAGAUUAAAGAAUGUGGAGAAUUACUAUAGAGACUUUGAGAAUCCACUAUAACAUUAGAGAGGAUAAAGAUAUUAUAAGAGUUAGGUUUAAACUAUGAGAUUAAAGAUGUUAUUGAGUUUUAUUCAUAAAUAUUAAGAAGUUUGUUCAUAUGUCAUCCACUUGUAAACAACAAUUAAAGAGAAAAAGUACUUAUAAAAGUAUUCCUCAAACAAGAAAUCAUCACAUUGAAAGGACAAACACAAGAGGCAGGAGAUUCUACACUAACAUUGGCUAAGAAAGAUAAGUUUUUUAAACUUAAAGAUCCACCCUCUAGUUCAUCUUAUCAUUUUUCAAUGAAAUGUUUGAAAUAUUUAAGAAAGGUCAAAUAAAAUCAAAUUACUAAAAAAAACAUUGAUUGAAAAAAAAAAUAGUACUUAUUAUGCCACAUAAACAGGAAAUUUAAAUAAAAUAAAAUUUAUCAAGGGAAAUAAUUAUUUUUAUUAAAUGGGAGGUUAAAAAUAUUAAAAUAGAUUGUAAAGAUAAUAAAUCUUCCUUUCUUUGCAAUUAUUGAAACUGAAAUAAUAAACCAAAGUAACAAUUUUGUAAUCAAGGGAAAUAAUUAUUUUUAUUAAAUGGGAGGUUAAAAAUAUUAAAAUAGAUUGUAAAGAUAAUAAAUCUUCCUUUCUUUGCAAUUAUUGAAACUGAAAUAAUAAACCAAAGUAACAAUUUUGUCAAGGUUAAUAUUGUAGAUUCCGAUUUUGAGUUGGUCCAGUAAAAAUUGAUUUUAGUAGGGAAGAUCACAAUUUGAUUUCCUACACUUGUAAUUAAAGAAGAGUUAGAAUUUUUUGAAGUCAAAAUUAAUCUCUAAACUGAAUUUAUUGAUCCAGUAAAUCGGAUAUUAAUGAUGGAAAAAAAUAAUAACCAUGCGACAGUUUUGUUAUGCAUUUAACAAUUUAACAGUUUGUCUCUUAAGUCAAUAUAAGUUAAUGUUAGAAAUUAUAAUAACGUAUAAGGUAUAAAAAAGUUUGUAAAGAGUAUAAUGAAUAGAAAAAUAGGUUAUAAUUUUGUUCUAUAUAAACCAUUGAAACUAGUUUAUCCAUAACAUUUCUUUUUCCUGAUUAUAUUAUUUUGAAGCCUUUUGAAAUGGCCAAGUAUUCUUUCAUAUUAAUUAUCUUUUUUAUCUUCAUUUUCUCAGAUAUAUUAUUUUUUGUCUAACCUUUUGUAUAUAUAUUCGCCUCAGUUCCUCUAUUUCAGAACUAUUAACAUUUGACUCUUUUCUUAGUCUUGUUCAGGUGACUGAUGGUGUUUACAGAUUUAAAAGGUACGAAGCACAAAGUACAUAUUUAUAUAUUUAGGUUAGCUGUGUAUGUCGGUGCUUCGCAUUUGUAUGGUUCUUGAUUUUGUUACUUUCUAUUUUUUUUAUGACAUCAUUCAUAUAUUUACAUAUUUAUAUGGUUCUUGAUUUUGUUAUUUUGUUGAUGACAUCAUUCAUAUAUUUACAUAUUUAUAUGGUUCUUGAUUUUGUUAUUUUGUUGCAUUAUCAUUAGGGUCCGAAUACAUUGAGAAGGUGAGAGUAAUGUGGAACAAGAUAAAACAAAAUAAUUUUAGGAUUAUGAUAUGUUUGUUAUAUUAGGUUUCGUUAGCAUCAGGUUCUGAAUCCUUUGGUUUAUUUCUAUUGUUGAAAUAAUAUGCAUAGGUGGAAUCUUGUUGGAAUUCAUUUUGAUUUCUUUUUAUUUGCGAACGGUAACUUAAGCGAAACUGAAUCAUGGGAAUUUUACAAAUAAUGUUCAAUUUCGUUGGUAGAACUUGUUCAACGAAUCUGAAGCACGAGUUUCUAUUAGUCCUAUUGAGACGAGCUAGUUAGAUAUGACUAGUUGACUUAAGAAAAAAGUUACUACAAUAUUUUAUAUAUGACUGGUUUUGCAUUAUUGUUUGUGUUUAUCAGAAGUGAGAGUUAUUCUUUUUCUAAACGCAGCAUACAAAAUCAGUCACAUAUGUUUUGUGAGCAUCAUACUCAAUUAAAGUGUAAAAUCCAAUUAUAGAUCUAAAUGAAGAUAAUUACAUUCACACACACGAUGGUGAGGUCUGGUUAGUAGUUAGCCUAUAUUAAAAGUCAAUAUCAUGAAUAUGAAAAGUCAUACCAACUGAUUCGUUGAUUCAUUUACUCCUUAAUAUUGAAAAAGUACUUCUAGUUAACUACAAAGAAAAUGAAAAAGUAUCAUUACAAAAACAGAAAAUUUGGUUUAGAGUUGUUCAAAGUUUCUAUUUAUUAGUACCAUAUAUUAUUAUUAUUAUUAUUAUUAUUAUUAUUAUUAUUAUUAUUAUUAUUAUUAUUAUGAAAGUAAACUGAUAUUUGUACUCAAAACAAUGAUAAAUUGUGAGUGCCCUGAUUUAGGUUAGAGAUAAUCAGGUUAGAGAUACAUUAUUAAGCGAUUUUGCACAAAUUCUGUUUUAUUUAUACAAGGGAUUUUGCUUUUGCAGAAAAUGUCAACAAAAGGAUCAUCUAAACUAAAGACUUUGUGCACACUGUGGAAAGAUUUAGAUGAACCUUUUAAAGCACGGAUUAACAAUAGAAUAGAAAAUUAUGGUGAAGGUUAUACACUGUUAAGAGUUUUAAGGUUUGUCCAAGAUAACUCAUCUGAAUUUUCAACAUCAUUGUUUGAAUUGUUCAUGAGUUAUUAUGGACUCCAAGAAAAUUAUUAUUGUUUUCAUGUUUGUGGUCAAAACAUGAACGUCACAUUGGAGGACGUUCUGUUUUUGACCAACUUACCCAUUACGGGCCGAACACUUAUAUCUGAAAGCAAUAAAGACCAUAUGGCUUUUAACAGAAUUUUUUCUUUACCUGACACUCAUAAACUUAAGUUAACAGUGUUGAAAUUUUUUUGCUACGAUAUAAAUAAAAUUGAUGAUGAUAUGAUCAAGGCCGUCAUCCUCAUGAUCGUGUCAUGUCUGAUCAUUCCAAGUGGGGAUGGACAAAAUUGCAAAACCACCUACGUCGAAUUUAUUGAAAAAUUAGACGAAGUAUACUCCUAUGCUUGGGGAGCGGCAAUAUUAUCCUAUCUAUAUCAAGGUCUGAAGGAGAAUAAUUUACGGAAUAAGAAAGUUGACGGCUUUGUAUGGCUGAUAAUGGUAAGUGCAUAUUUUUUCUUAUAUCUUUUUUCUUCUUACCUCUUUGUUUGAUAACUUUUUAACCAACUUUUUUUUCAUAGGGAUUCUUCUUUUAUCAUUUUAAAGGUCUUUAUCAAAUCCUCAAUAUUAAUGCUAUUAAUGCGGAGGAAGAUCAUAUGCCUAAUACGCCACUAUUGACAUAUUUGAUAAAAGCUCUUUUCAAACUCGGCCAAAACCGCCACACAAAACCCCAUCAUCAAUUAGGACAAAAGUUUUAGUUGAUACGUAACUUCUUGGAUAUGGAUCAUGAUGUAAGAAAUGAUUUCUAUAGCUUAUGUAGGUUGUGAUUUUGUGGGAUAAUGGUUAGUUAAUUUUUAGUUUGUUAUCUUUAUCUUUUGUUUUUUGUAUAACACAGGAUAUAGAAAAUUUUCCUAUUACUUGGCAUCCCUAUAUUGAACAAAUGUUGUCUCCCGACCUGCAACAGUCGAUGGAACUUGAUGAUAUUAACUUGACCGGUGUUGGAUCUGAUAUGGAAAUGAUUAUUUCAAAGGAAAUAAAGGCAGUAAUCCCAUCAUUUUGAGCACAUUUUUAAAAAAGAGGAGGAUAACGAUAGGCGGUUUGCACAAAACUUCCAGACUAUUGAAGCAUCCACUUCUGAGACAGCAGGUGAUAUUGAAGCAUCCACUUCCGAGACGGCAAGUGAUCACCAAUCACCAAUAUUGAGAAUAUCACUAGUGGAGGUAAAAUAUUUAAUUAUGUUAUGGUUUUAGUUAUGAAUAAUGAUAAGUAAUCAGCGGUGCAUGUUAUCUUAUGAAUAUAUAAUUACGUUUUUAAUUAAGAAAAUGUAGUUUUAUUAUUUGCCAAAUUUUAACAAUGUGAUAGAUGCAUGUGAGAUGUUGGCGGUUGAUUAUGAAGCAUAUGAGAUUACCGUACUAUCGUCGCCCCAUUGUUUUGCUACAACUAUGUGGAGCCUCAAUAUCCAAAUGUUGUAGCAAAACAGUUCGAGGAACUUGAUGAUAUUAACUUGACCGGUGUUGGAUCUGAUAUGGGAAUGAUUAUUUCAAAGGGAAAUAAAGGCAAUAAUCCAAUCAAUUUUAAAGCACAUUUUAAAAAAGAAAUGAGACAAUGGGAGGAUAUCGAUAGGCGGUUGCACAAAACUUCCAGACUAUUGAAGCAUCCACUUCUGAGACGGCAGGUGAUAUUGAAGCAUCCACUUCCGAGACGGCAAGUGAUCACCAAUCACCCAAUAUUGAGAAUAGCACUAGUGGAGGUAAAAUAUUUAAUUAUGUUAUGGUUUUAGUUGUGAAUUAUAAGUAAUCAGCGGUGCAUGUUAUCUUAUGAAUAUAUAAUUACGUUUUUAAUUAAGAAAAUGUAGUUUUUUAUUUGCCAAAUUUUAACAAUGUGAUAGAUGCAUGUGAGAUGUUGGCGGUUGAUUUUGAAGCAUAUGAGAUUACCAUAUUAUCGUCGCCCCAUUGUUUUUCUACAACUAUGUGGAGCCUCAAUUAGGGGUGUUCGCGGUUUGGUUUGGAUCGGUUUUGAGACAAAAACUCAUCCGAUCCAAAGAUACAAAGAGCAUAUGGUUUGGUUCGGUUAUUGGAUGACAAUAAAAAAAAUCCAAUCCAAUCCAAUCCAAUUUAUACGGUUUACUUCGGUUCGGUUUUAUUCGGUUUUUAAACAAACACUACUUCUAAAUCUAAAAUCAUAUUUAACUUUAACUAUUAACUAGUAUGCAUUCUAGUAAUAGUAUGUGUUUAAACAAUUGUAUUUAUUAGUAUUUAAUUGUAUUUAAAUUGUAAUAUUUAAAUAAUAUUAUUAAUUAGUGCAUGAUGUGCUGUAAAUGUGCAUUGUAUUUAAUUUGUAACGGUGCAUUGUAUUUAAUUAAUUAGAGUUAAUGAGAAUACUAUAUGAAUAAAUAUUGGUUCGGUUUGGAUUGGUUCGGUUUUCAUGCUGCCAACCGAAAACUGAACCGAACCGGUCAGUCAUUCUACAAGGUGGUCCAAACAUAUCCAAAAAAAUUCGGUUUUUUUUUGUUUUCGGUUUUUUUGGUUCGGUUUUUUUUUGGAUUGGAUUGGAUUUGAACACCCCUAGCCUCAAUACCCAAAUGUUGUAGCAAAACAGUUCGAGGAACUUGAUGAUAUUAACUUGACCGGUGUGGGAUCUGAUAUGGGAGUGAUUAUUUCAAAGGGAAAUAAAGGCAAUAAUCCCAUCAAUUUUAAAGCACAUUUUAAAAAAGAGAUGAGAUAAUGGGAGGAUAUCGAUAGGCGGUUUGCACAAAACUUCCAGACUAUUGAAUCAUCCACUUCUGAGAGGGCAGGUGAUAUUGAAGCAUCCACUUCUGAGACGGCAAAUGAUCACCAAUCACCCAAUAUUGAGAAUAGCACUAGUGGAGGUAAAAUAUUUAAUUAUGUUAUGGUUUUAGUUAUGAAUAAUGAUAAGUAAUCAGCGGUGCAUGUUAUCUUAUGAAUAUAUAAUUACGUUUUUAAUUAAGAAAAUGUAGUUUUUUAUUUGCCAAAUUUUAAUAAUGUGAUAGAUGCAUGUGAAAUGUUUGCGGUUGAUUUUGAAGCAUAUGAGAUUACCGUACUAUCGUCGCCCCAUUGUUUUGCUACAACUAUGUGGUGCCUCAAUAUCCAAAUGUUGUAGCAAAGCAGUUCGAGGAACUUGAUGAUAUUAACUUGACCGGUGUUGGAUCUGAUAUGGGAGUGAUUAUUUCAAAGGGAAAUAAAGGCAAUAAUCCCAUCAAUUUUGAAGCACAUUUUAAAAAAGAGACGAGACAAUGGGAGGAUAUCGAUAGGCGGUUUGCACAAAACUUCCAGACUAUUGAAGCAUCCACUUCUGAGACGGCAGGUGAUAUUGAAGCAUCCACUUCCGAGACGGCAAGUGAUCACCAAUCACCCAUUAGUUAUUUACAUAUUAGAAGCAUUCUGGGAUAAAAAUAUAGGUUUGUUUAAUGUAACUUCCCUCCUUAUGACGUUUUUUUAACACACAACAUAACCGCUCCACUUCUCUUCUCUCACACCCGCUUCGCUCCACUAUCUCUUCUCUCACCACAGUGCCAUACGCUUCUUCUCUUUCUUCAACACACAGUGCCACACCGCUUCUUCUCUUUGGCGUUGUCGCNGGGAAAUAAAGGCAAUAAUCCCAUCAAUUUUGAAGCACAUUUUAAAAAAGAGACGAGACAAUGGGAGGAUAUCGAUAGGCGGUUUGCACAAAACUUCCAGACUAUUGAAGCAUCCACUUCUGAGACGGCAGGUGAUAUUGAAGCAUCCACUUCCGAGACGGCAAGUGAUCACCAAUCACCCAAUAUUGAGAAUAGCACUAGUGCAGGUAAAAUAUUUAAUUAUGUUAUCGUUUUAGUUAUGAAAGUAACAGCGGGUGCAUGUUAUCUUAUGAACUAUGGAAUUACGUUUUUUUAAUUAAAGAAAAUGUGUUUUUUAUUUGCACCAGAUUUUAACGAAAUGUGAUAAGAUGCGAAUGUGAGAUCGUUGGCGGCUUGAGUUUUGAAGCAUGAUGAAUACCAUAUUAUCGUCGAUCCAAUGCGGUUAGAGAGAAUGUCAUAAGCUUAGGGUUAUGAUUAUCACCAAAGUUUGUACAACUUUGAAUUUUGGAUUUUAGAAUAAAUAGAUGAUAAUUUUUUACAUUUUUUAAUCAAUUAUUAAAUUAUAAUAUAUAUAAGAAAAAAAUCAUAUAACUAUGUUAUUACAUAUAGAACAUUCUGGGUAAAAAUAUAGUUUGUUAAUGUAACUUCCUCACUUAUGAACGUUUUUUUAACACACCAACAUACCCGCUUCCACUUCUCUUUCUCUCAACACACCGCUUCGCUUCCACUUAUCUUUCUCUCAACACAGUGCCAUACGCUUCUUCUCUUUCUUCAACACACAGUGCCACACCGCUUCUUCUCUUCUCUUUGGCUUUGUGCGCAGAUUUUGUCGAAGCUCAUCGUCCACCACCGCCGCGGGUUCCAUUUGCCACUGUUAACACCAUCAACUAAUCUCUGAUUGACAAUUGCUUUGGCGUUGGGUAGUUUUUUUUUUCUUCUUUCAUUUUGGAUUGUGAAAUAGGAUCAUAAGCAAUACCUCUGUAUUAUGAUUUUGGGGAGUUAGUUAAUUUCAAUAUCUCUCUCUUUUUUAGAUUUUGUCGAAGCUCAUCGUCCACCACCGCCGCGGGUUCCAUUUGCCACUGUUAACACCGAUCACUAAUCUCUGAUUGACAUUGCUUUGGCGUUGGGUAAGUUCUUUUUUUCUUCUUUCAUUUUUGGGGAUUGUGAAAUUAGGAUAUAAGCAAUACCUCUGUAUUAUGAUUUUGGGGAGUUAGUUAAUUUCAAUUUAGGGAUUAUCUUGUGGAUUUAGGAAUCGAGUAUGGUUAUUUUAGGUUGAGUAUUGUUCAAUGGUUACUCUUGCAAUAUGGAAUUCACCCCUGUAGACACCACUGUUAGCAUUGACCCUGACCUGUAUCAGUAAGAGUUUCUGUGUACAAAAAAAUAGGGUCUUUCGUAUCCAAUCUCAAGGUGUACUUUCAUUGGAUUCGAUUGAAAAUAGUGUGGUGACUGAUAUUAUGCAAACUUUGUCAACUUUUUCAUCCAUGUCACCGGCGUCUCUGGCAUGCGCUCCGCCGUCACUCAAGAGGCUGAACUUUAACUUUCUCUUACCAACCGCUUCAUAUGUGUCCACUUUGUCUCUUCGGCAUGCCAAUAUAGAGCUUAUUAUUGUUACUCAUUCAUCGACACCUCCGAACCUUGGUCUAAUCUCAGUUGUGCUUCCACAGUUUGAGACUCAAGGAGUUGUUAUUUUGGUUAAUGUCGAUACAGAUGGAACUGUCUUAGUUAGCCAUGAUGGUAUGGAAAUGUGGCAAGGUUUACAGACGAAAGUUGCACAAAUUGCGGCAUCAACUUUCAAUAUCCUCCUUAAUUUUGUCUUCAUAUCAGAUACAAGUACAGAUAAGGUUCCUAAUUCUUCUCCAUUAACACCUUCUGCAAGUUCUGACAUGUAUGGAGCAGUGGUUUUAGAUGCAUGUGAGCAAAUAUCCGUACACAUGGAACCUAUUUCUUCCCAACAUAAAUUCAAGACUUUUACUGAGCUAGUUAAUGUGUGCUAUGUAGAGCGAAUAGAUCUUGCUGUCUGUGGAUUUUGUAUUGCACAGUUUUAGAAAUAAUACACUAUUUUCAUAUUUGUGCAUUUUUAUCCAUUUCUUAUAUAUUUUGUAAGUUGCGGUUUUUUCGGGUUCGCAUCAGUUUGAUUGGUGUUAAAUUAAUAUUAUAUGUGACUAUAUGAAUGCAGGAAAUGGCAACAAAAGCAAAAGGAAGUUCAAAACUGCCAACUUUGUGCGAUUUGUGGUCAAAAUUAGAUGAAGACUUUAAAGCCUUAAUUAACAACAGAAUUGAUAAUAAUGGUGAUGGUAGUUCUUUGUUGAGACUUAUCCCCAAUAGACGUGUGGAAAUUUCAACAUAUUUGCUGCAAGAGUUCAUGACACUUUAUGAACAUAGAGAAAAUGAUUUUUAUUUUCAGGUCUGUGGUCAACAACGCAUGAACGUCACAUUGGAGGACGUUUUAUUUUUGACCCAUUUGCCUAUUAUAGGCCGACCAAUUGUCCCCAUUGACAAUAGAGAUCGAGAUGCUUUCAAUCGACUUUUUUCAGAAAAUUCAUCUCUACUUUCCCUAGUCACGUUGAGAAAUAUUUGUUGUGAUACAAAUAGAAAUGAUGAUGAGAGGAUCAAGGCUGUCCUUCUCAUGAUUGUGACAUGCCUGAUUGCUCCAAAUGGGAAUGGACAAAAUUGCAAGACUUCUUACGUCCAAUUUAUCGAAAAAUUGGACGAAGUUAACUCCUAUGCUUGGGGAGCUGCAAUGUUAGCAUACUUGUAUCAAGGUAUGAAGGGAUGGAAGACCGAUGAUAAGGCAAUUGACGGCUUCACCUGGCUUAUAAUGGUAAGAGCAUUUUUUUCUUAUCAUUUUUUUUUCCUUAUCUCUUUUUUUGAUAAUUUUUUCACCAACUUUUUUUUUUCAUAGGGCUUCUUCUUUUCUCAUUUUAGAGGUCUUUAUUCGAUCUUCAAUAAUGCUGUGGAGGAAAAUCAGGCUCAUGAUAAGCCAAAACUGGCAUAUUUGAUAGAGUCACUUGAGAAAACCGGCAAAAUCCACCCAAAGAAGGCCAACAUCCCAUUACAAUUGAAGGUCAACAUAACAUUUUAAGUAGACAACUUAAUCUUUCCAAUUCAUUUAAUAUCACCUCAAAAUCAUGAAAAAUGAAGGAGCUAUGUCCUUGGGAAGUUGACCCAAAAUUAGGGUUUUAGUCAAAAUGACCUAUAAUGUUUUGAAAUGGAUGAUGACCUUCCAAGCUUCAAAUAAAUUUUUUAUGAACAUGAAAGUUGUUCAUAAGAUUCUUAAGAACAUUGUUUCUCUUGGGGUUAUCUCCAUUUGACAAACACAUUAAAAGUUAGGUCUCAGUGUACUUCAAAAUAGUCAUAUGAAUUGACUGAUCAACUUCUCAAGUCUACACCUCAUAUCUUGAUGAAUUGAUGAUUGAGGAUACUCAAAUAAGUUCAAAUAUGCAUGAAAUGAUGAUUUAAAGAACUUCCCUUGAUUGCAUUUGAUCAUAGGUUGAGGUUGCUUCAUGAGCAACGCAUAGUUGAUGAACAGAUAAAUUACGGCUUCCUUGGGAAACAAACCUCAAACCCUUUGGUUUGCUUUGAUCAAAAUUAUGAAUUGAGAUACUUGGGAGGCAUAUUUGAUGUAUGAGAGCUUUGGGAACCAUUGACAUGCUUGCUUUCAUCUUCCCUUGACUAUAUCAGUGCACCUAGGAUCUCCUAGAAGUUUUGGAUCUUGUGACUGCUCAAGCUACAAACAAAAGAUGUUAGUGACAUAUUUUUGUGUUUUUGGUUAGUGAAUAAAAUGAGAGAAGCAAUAAUAUACAAUUCAAGUAUGCUUGGUGAUCUCAAACCAAUUCUCAAAAGUUCCCACCCCAAAGGUAAGAAGCCAAGAUGCUUAUGAUCCUUGAGGCAAAAUGCAAAUGCAAUGAUAUGAUGCCAUGAGGGAUCUUAGGGUCAAAAUUGGGAUCUUACAAUUAUUAUUAUUAUUAUAUUGUUUGUGUUCUUUGUUAUAUGAUUGUGGUCCUUUUUGAAUUUUUUGUUAUUGUUGAAAUUAUGAGUGGAAGUGAAAUAACUCCAUAUUCUUCUAGAAGGGCUNUGAAAUUUAAAAAAAUAAAAAGGAAAUUAAACAGAUGACCAUGAAAUUUAAAAAAAUAAAAAGGAAAUUAAAUAUACCUUUCUCUUCCUUUGUCUUUUAUGUCUUUUAGCCAUAGCAUUGACGUGAUUAAUGGAAUGCGUAAAUCUCUCGAUUCCCACCCCCCUAUUUUCUCUUUUUGUAGUUUUAAGCUGUAGUGGAGGAGUCGCCAUGCCACGUCUACGGCGUACCUGAAUCACCACAUUCUGCCCCGCAUUCUCUACAUUCUGCCCCGCAUUCCCCACAUUCUGCCCCGCAUUCCCCGCAUUCCCCGCAUUCUCCCCCGCAUUUUCAUCUAUAUCACCCAACUGCCUCGCAUUUGUUUCCCCGGCUGCAUAUAUCACAUUAUUUAAACCCGGCAAAUCAAGAAUAUUUUCAUAAUUAAGAAUGUAACUAAAAACAUAACAUAGUUAAAUAUUUUACCUUCACUAGUGCCAACCUCUGAUGACCUUUGUGCAUGGUAUGGUGAUGGACAAGACAUAUCAAGGGAUGAUGGUGGAGAAAAAUGCACAUCAGCGUCGGAGAGAUGCCCUUGGGAAUUGGCUGUAUGCAGGGGAGUGUGAUUUUGUUGAGCAGCUUCUGGCUCGGAAAUGGAUUGUUGAGCAGCUUCUGGCUCGGAAAUGGAUUGUUGAGCAGUGUGGUAGUUUUCUGAUGAAAUUUAAAAAAAUAAAAAGGAAAUUAAACAGAUGACCAUGAAAUUUAAAAAAAUAAAAAGGAAAUUAAAUAUACCUUUCUCUUCCUUUGUCUUUUAUGUCUUUUAGCCAUAGCAUUGACGUGAUCAAUGGAAUGCGUAAAUCUCUCGAUUGCCACCCCCCUAUUUUCUCUUUUUGUAGUUUUAAGCUGUAGUGGAGGAGUCGCCAUGCCACGUCUACGGCGUACCUGAAUCACCACAUUCUGCCCCGCAUUCCCCGCAUUCUCCACAUUCUGCCCCGCGUUCCCCACAUUCUGCCCCGCAUUCCCUGCAUUCCCCGCAUUCUCCCCCGCAUUUUCAUCUAUAUCACCCAACUGCCUCGCAUUUGUUUCCCCGACUGCAUAUAUCACAUUAUUUAAACCCGGCAAAUCAAGAAUAUUUUCAUAAUUAAGAAUGUAACUAAAAACAUAACAUAGUUAAAUAUUUUACCUUCACUAGUGCCAACCUCUGAUGACCUUUGUGCAUGGUAUGGUGAUGGAGAAGACAUAUCAAGGGAUGAUGGUGGAGAAAAAUGCACAUCAGCGUCGGAUAGAUGCCCUUGGGAAUUGGCUGUAUGCAGGGGAGUGUGAUUUUGUUGAGCAGCUUCUGGCUCGGAAAUGGAUUGUUGAGCAGCUUCUGGCUCGGAAAUGGAUUGUUGAGCAGUGUGGUAGUUUUCUGCUAACCGACUACCAAAUUGCCUCCACUGUAUCACCUCUUUAUUAUAAUAUGCUCGGAAAUUGAUUGACUUAUCUCCACUAUUUGCUUUGAAUUUUAUCGUUUCCAGAUCAGAUCCAACAUCUUGUAAAUCAACAUCAUUAAGGACCUCAAAUUGUUUUGCUACAACAUGUGGACGAUGAUGCUCCACAUAGUUGUAGCAAAAUAGAGGGGCGACGACAGUACGAUACUGGAUCUGAUCAUGUAGGUGGGGGGCAACGUGUCUAAAUUGUAUGGAUGCCAUGUAAUUGGUCUCACAUCUGCUUCGAUAUUCUAUGUUAUACAAAAAAAAGAUAAAGAUUAAAAAAUAAAGAUACAAUUAGUAUUAUAUAAUAAUGGUUUGUAAAAUUCUUACCUCCUCCGUUCUCAGGAGGUCAUGUACCAAAUUCAACUUCAAUUGUAAUGGGAUGUUGGCCUUCUUUGGGUGGAUUUUGCCGGUUUUCUCAAGUGACUCUAUCAAAUAUGCCAGUUUUGGCUUAUCAUGAGCCUGAUUUUCCUCCACAGCAUUAUUGAAGAUCGAAUAAAGACCUCUAAAAUGAGAAAAGAAGAAGCCCUAUGAAAAAAAAAAGUUGGUGAAAAAAUUAUCAAAAAAAGAGAUAAGGAAAAAAAAAUGAUAAGAAAAAAAUGCUCUUACCAUUAUAAGCCAGGUGAAGCCGUCAAUUGCCUUAUCAUCGGUCUUCCAUCCCUUCAUACCUUGAUACAAGUAUGCUAACAUUGCAGCUCCCCAAGCAUAGGAGUUAACUUCGUCCAAUUUUUCGAUAAAUUGGACGUAAGAAGUCUUGCAAUUUUGUCCAUUCCCAUUUGGAGCAAUCAGGCAUGUCACAAUCAUGAGAAGGACAGCCUUGAUCCUCUCAUCAUCAUUUCUAUUUGUAUCACAACAAAUAUUUCUCAACGUGACUAGGGAAAGUAGAGAUGAAUUUUCUGAAAAAAGUCGAUUGAAAGCAUCUCGAUCUCUAUUGUCAAUGGGGACAAUUGGUCGGCCUAUAAUAGGCAAAUGGGUCAAAAAUAAAACGUCCUCCAAUGUGACGUUCAUGCGUUGUUGACCACAGACCUGAAAAUAAAAAUCAUUUUCUCUAUGUUCAUAAAGUGUCAUGAACUCUUGCAGCAAAUAUGUUGAAAUUUCCACACGUCUAUUGGGGAUAAGUCUCAACAAAGAACUACCAUCACCAUUAUUAUCAAUUCUGUUGUUAAUUAAGGCUUUAAAGUCUUCAUCUAAUUUUGACCACAAAUCGCACAAAGUUGGCAGUUUUGAACUUCCUUUUGCUUUUGUUGCCAUUUCCUGCAUUCAUAUAGUCACAUAUAAUAUUAAUUUAACACCAAUCAAACUGAUGCGAACCCGAAAAAACCGCAACUUACAAAAUAUAUAAGAAAUGGAUAAAAAUGCACAAAUAUGAAAAUAGUGUAUUAUUUCUAAAACUGUGCAAUACAAAAUCCACAGACAGCAAGAUCUAUUCGCUCUACAUAGCACACAUUAACUAGCUCAGUAAAAGUCUUGAAUUUAUGUUGGGAAGAAAUAGGUUCCAUGUGUACGGAUAUUUGCUCACAUGCAUCUAAAACCACUGCUCCAUACAUGUCAGAACUUGCAGAAGGUGUUAAUGGAGAAGAAUUAGGAACCUUAUCUGUACUUGUAUCUGAUAUGAAGACAAAAUUAAGGAGGAUAUUGAAAGUUGAUGCCGCAAUUUGUGCAACUUUCGUCUGUAAACCUUGCCACAUUUCCAUACCAUCAUGGCUAACUAAGACAGUUCCAUCUGUAUCGACAUUAACCAAAAUAACAACUCCUUGAGUCUCAAACUGUGGAAGCACAACUGAGAUUAGACCAAGGUUCGGAGGUGUCGAUGAAUGAGUAACAAUAAUAAGCUCUAUAUUGGCAUGCCGAAGAGACAAAGUGGACACAUAUGAAGCGGUUGGUAAGAGAAAGUUAAAGUUCAGCCUCUUGAGUGACGGCGGAGCGCAUGCCAGAGACGCCGGUGACAUGGAUGAAAAAGUUGACAAAGUUUGCAUAAUAUCAGUCACCACACUAUUUUCAAUCGAAUCCAAUGAAAGUACACCUUGAGAUUGGAUACGAAAGACCCUAUUUUUUUGAACACAGAAACUCUUACUGAUACAGGUCAGGGUCAAUGCUAACAGUGGUGUCUACAUGGGUGAAUUCCAUAUUGCAAGAGUAACCAUUGAACAAUACUCAACCUAAAAUAACCAUACUCGAUUCCUAAAUCCACAAGAGAAUCCCUAAAUUGAAAUUAACUAACUCCCCAAAAUCAUAAUACAGAGGUAUUGCUUAUAUCCUAAUUUCACAAUCCCCAAAAAUGAAAGAAGAAAAAAAGAACUUACCCAACGCCAAAGCAAUGUCAAUCAGAGAUUAGUGAUCGGUGUUAACAGUGGCAAAUGGAACCCGCGGCGGUGGUGGACGAUGAGCUUCGACAAAAUCUGCGAACAAAGCCAAAGAAAGAGAAGAAGCGGUGUGGCACUGUGUGUUGAGAGAAAGAGAAGAAGCGUAUGGCACUGUGUGUUGAGAGAAAGAGAAGUGGAAGCGGAAGCGGUGUGUUGAGAGAAAGAGAAGUGGAAGCGGUAUGUUGUGUGUUAAAAAAACGUUCAUAAGUGGAGGGAAGUUACAUUAACAAACCUAUAUUUUUUACCCAGAAUGCUUCUAAUAUGUAAAUAACAUAGUUAUAAUGAAUUUUUUUCUUAUUAUAUUUAUAAUUAAUAAUUGAUUAAAAAAUGGUUAAAAAAUAUCUAUCUAUUUAUUCUAAAUCCAAAAUUCAAAGUUGUACAAACUUUGGUGAUAAUCAUAACCCUAAUGCUUAUGUGACAUUCUCUCUAACCGCCAAUGGGACGACGAUAAUAUGGUAAUCUCAUAUGCUUCAAAAUCAACCGCCAACAUCUCACAUGCAUCUAUCACAUUGUUAAAAUUUGGCAAAUAAAAAACUACAUUUUCUUAAUUAAAAACGUAAUUAUAUAUUCAUAAGAUAACAUGCACCGCUGAUUACUUUUCAUAACUAAAACCAUAACAUAAUUAAAUAUUUUACCUGCACUAGUGCUAUUCUCAAUAUUGGGUGAUUGGUGAUCACUUGCCGUCUCGGAAGUGGAUGCUUCAAUAUCACCUGCCGUCUCAGAAGUGGAUGCUUCAAUAGUCUGGAAGUUUUGUGCAAACCGCCUAUCGAUAUCCUCCCAUUGUCUCGUCUCUUUUUUAAAAUGUGCUUCAAAAUUGAUGGGAUUAUUGCCUUUAUUUCCCUUUGAAAUAAUCACUCCCAUAUCAGAUCCAACACCGGUCAAGUUAAUAUCAUCAAGUUCCUCGAACUGCUUUGCUACAACAUUUGGAUAUUGAGGCACCACAUAGUUGUAGCAAAACAAUGGGGCGACGAUAGUACGGUAAUCUCAUAUGCUUCAAAAUCAACCGCAAACAUUUCACAUGCAUCUAUCACAUUAUUAAAAUUUGGCAAAUAAAAAACUACAUUUUCUUAAUUAAAAACGUAAUUAUAUAUUCAUAAGAUAACAUGCACCGCUGAUUACUUAUCAUUAUUCAUAACUAAAACCAUAACAUAAUUAAAUAUUUUACCUCCACUAGUGCUAUUCUCAAUAUUGGGUGAUUGGUGAUCAUUUGCCGUCUCAGAAGUGGAUGCUUCAAUAUCACCUGCCCUCUCAGAAGUGGAUGAUUCAAUAGUCUGGAAGUUUUGUGCAAACCGCCUAUCGAUAUCCUCCCAUUAUCUCAUCUCUUUUUUAAAAUGUGCUUUAAAAUUGAUGGGAUUAUUGCCUUUAUUUCCCUUUGAAAUAAUCACUCCCAUAUNNNNNNNNNNNNNNNNNNNNNNNNNNNNNNNNNNNNNNNNNNNNNNNNNNNNNNNNNNNNNNNNNNNNNNNNNNNNNNNNNNNNNNNNNNNNNNNNNNNNNNNNNNNNNNNNNNNNNNNNNNNNNNNNNNNNNNNNNNNNNNNNNNNNNNNNNNNNNNNNNNNNNNNNNNNNNNNNNNNNNNNNNNNNNNNNNNNNNNNNNNNNNNNNNNNNNNNNNNNNNNNNNNNNNNNNNNNNNNNNNNNNNNNNNNNNNNNNNNNNNNNNNNNNNNNNNNNNNNNNNNNNNNNNNNNNNNNNNNNNNNNNNNNNNNNNNNNNNNNNNNNNNNNNNNNNNNNNNNNNNNNNNNNNNNNNNNNNNNNNNNNNNNNNNNNNNNNNNNNNNNNNNNNNNNNNNNNNNNNNNNNNNNNNNNNNNNNNNNNNNNNNNNNNNNNNNNNNNNNNNNNNNNNNNNNNNNNNNNNNNNNNNNNNNNNNNNNNNNNNNNNNNNNNNNNNNNNNNNNNNNNNNNNNNNNNNNNNNNNNNNNNNNNNNNNNNNNNNNNNNNNNNNNNNNNNNNNNNNNNNNNNNNNNNNNNNNNNNNNNNNNNNNNNNNNNNNNNNNNNNNNNNNNNNNNNNNNNNNNNNNNNNNNNNNNNNNNNNNNNNNNNNNNNNNNNNNNNNNNNNNNNNNNNNNNNNNNNNNNNNNNNNNNNNNNNNNNNNNNNNNNNNNNNNNNNNNNNNNNNNNNNNNNNNNNNNNNNNNNNNNNNNNNNNNNNNNNNNNNNNNNNNNNNNNNNNNNNNNNNNNNNNNNNNNNNNNNNNNNNNNNNNNNNNNNNNNNNNNNNNNNNNNNNNNNNNNNNNNNNNNNNNNNNNNNNNNNNNNNNNNNNNNNNNNNNNNNNNNNNNNNNNNNNNNNNNNNNNNNNNNNNNNNNNNNNNNNNNNNNNNNNNNNNNNNNNNNNNNNNNNNNNNNNNNNNNNNNNNNNNNNNNNNNNNNNNNNNNNNNNNNNNNNNNNNNNNNNNNNNNNNNNNNNNNNNNNNNNNNNNNNNNNNNNNNNNNNNNNNNNNNNNNNNNNNNNNNNNNNNNNNNNNNNNNNNNNNNNNNNNNNNNNNNNNNNNNNNNNNNNNNNNNNNNNNNNNNNNNNNNNNNNNNNNNNNNNNNNNNNNNNNNNNNNNNNNNNNNNNNNNNNNNNNNNNNNNNNNNNNNNNNNNNNNNNNNNNNNNNNNNNNNNNNNNNNNNNNNNNNNNNNNNNNNNNNNNNNNNNNNNNNNNNNNNNNNNNNNNNNNNNNNNNNNNNNNNNNNNNNNNNNNNNNNNNNNNNNNNNNNNNNNNNNNNNNNNNNNNNNNNNNNNNNNNNNNNNNNNNNNNNNNNNNNNNNNNNNNNNNNNNNNNNNNNNNNNNNNNNNNNNNNNNNNNNNNNNNNNNNNNNNNNNNNNNNNNNNNNNNNNNNNNNNNAAAAAAAAGAUAAAGAUUAAAAAAUAAAGAUACAAUUAGUAUUAUAUAAUAAUGGUUUGUAAAAUUCUUACCUCCUCCGUUCUCAGGAGGUCAUGUACCAAAUUCAACUUCAAUUGUAAUGGGAUGUUGGCCUUCUUUGGGUGGAUUUUGCCGGUUUUCUCAAGUGACUCUAUCAAAUAUGCCAGUUUUGGCUUAUCAUGAGCCUGAUUUUCCUCCACAGCAUUAUUGAAGAUCGAAUAAAGACCUCUAAAAUGAGAAAAGAAGAAGCCCUAUGAAAAAAAAAAGUUGGUGAAAAAAUUAUCAAAAAAAGAGAUAAGGAAAAAAAAAUGAUAAGAAAAAAAUGCUCUUACCAUUAUAAGCCAGGUGAAGCCGUCAAUUGCCUUAUCAUCGGUCUUCCAUCCCUUCAUACCUUGAUACAAGUAUGCUAACAUUGCAGCUCCCCAAGCAUAGGAGUUAACUUCGUCCAAUUUUUCGAUAAAUUGGACGUAAGAAGUCUUGCAAUUUUGUCCAUUCCCAUUUGGAGCAAUCAGGCAUGUCACAAUCAUGAGAAGGACAGCCUUGAUCCUCUCAUCAUCAUUUCUAUUUGUAUCACAACAAAUAUUUCUCAACGUGACUAGGGAAAGUAGAGAUGAAUUUUCUGAAAAAAGUCGAUUGAAAGCAUCUCGAUCUCUAUUGUCAAUGGGGACAAUUGGUCGGCCUAUAAUAGGCAAAUGGGUCAAAAAUAAAACGUCCUCCAAUGUGACGUUCAUGCGUUGUUGACCACAGACCUGAAAAUAAAAAUCAUUUUCUCUAUGUUCAUAAAGUGUCAUGAACUCUUGCAGCAAAUAUGUUGAAAUUUCCACACGUCUAUUGGGGAUAAGUCUCAACAAAGAACUACCAUCACCAUUAUUAUCAAUUCUGUUGUUAAUUAAGGCUUUAAAGUCUUCAUCUAAUUUUGACCACAAAUCGCACAAAGUUGGCAGUUUUGAACUUCCUUUUGCCUUUGUUGCCAUUUCCUGCAUUCAUAUAGACAUAUAAUAUUAAUUUACCCAAUCAAACUAAAAAAUGAUGGAACCCGAAAACCGCAACUUACAAAUAUAUAGAAUGGAUAAAAUGCACAAUAUGAAAUAGUGUUUAUUUCUAAAAUUGUGCAAUACAAAAUCCACGCAGCAAAGAUCUUAUCGCUCUACAUAGCACCUUAACUAGCUCAGUAAAAGUCAUUGAUUUAUGUUGGAAGAAAUAGGUUCCAUGUACGGAUAUUCUGUCACCUGCCAUCUAAAACCACUGCUCCUACAUGUCAGACUUGUAGAAGUGUUAAUGUGAGAGAAUUAGGACUAUCUGUACUUGUAUCUUUGAUAUGAAGACAAAAUUUAAGGGGAUAUGAAGUGAUGCGCAUGUUUUGCACUUUCGUCUGUAAACCUUUGCCACAUUUCCAUAACCAUCAAUGGGCCCUAACAAGACAGUCCAUCUGUAUCGUCAUUACACCAAAAUAACAACUCCUUGAGUCUCAAACUGUGGAAGCACAACUGAGAUUAGACCAAGGUUCGGAGGUGUCGAUGAAUGAGUAACAAUAAUAAGCUCUAUAUUGGCAUGCCGAAGAGACAAAGUGGACACAUAUGAAGCGGUUGGUAAGAGAAAGUUAAAGUUCAGCCUCUUGAGUGGCGGCGGAGCGCAUGCCAGAGACGCCGGUGACAUGGAUGAAAAAGUUGACAAAGUUUGCAUAAUAUCAGUCACCACACUAUUUUCAAUCGAAUCCAAUGAAAGUACACCUUGAGAUUGGAUACGAAAGACCCUAUUUUUUUGAACACAGAAACUCUUACUGAUACAGGUCAGGGUCAAUGCUAACAGUGGUGUCUACAUGGGUGAAUUCCAUAUUGCAAGAGUAACCAUUGAACAAUACUCAACCUAAAAUAACCAUACUCGAUUCCUAAAUCCACAAGAGAAUCCCUAAAUUGAAAUUAACUAACUCCCCAAAAUCAUAAUACAGAGGUAUUGCUUAUAUCCUAAUUUCACAAUCCCAAAAAAUGAAAGAAGAAAAAAAGAACUUACCCAACGCCAAAGCAAUGUCAAUCAGAGAUUAGUGAUCGGUGUUAACAGUGGCAAAUGGAACCCGCGGCGGUGGUGGACGAUGAGCUUCGACAAAAUCUCGCGAACAAAGCCAAAGAAGAGAAGAGCGGUGUGGCACUGUGUGUUGAGAGAAAGAGAAGAAGCGUAUGGCACUGUUCUGGUGAAGAAAGAGAAGUGGAAGCGGAAGCGGUGUGUUGAGAGAAAGAGAAGUGGAAGCGGUAUGUUGUGUGUUAAAAAACGUUCAUAAGGGGAGGAGUUACAUUAACAACCUAUAUUUUUACAGAAUGUUCUAAAUGUAAAUACAUAGUUAUAUGAAUUUUUUCUUAUUAUAUUUAUAAUUAAUAAUUGAUUAAAAAAUGGUUAAAAAUAUCUAUCUAUUUAUUCUAAAUCCAAAUUCAAAGUUGUACAAACUUUGGUGAUAAUCAUAACCCUAAUGCUUAUGUGACAUUCUCUCUAACCGCAAUGGCGACGACGAUAAUAUCCGCUAAUCUCAUAUGCUUCAAAAUUCCAACCAGCCAACAUCUCCCAUGCUCUAUCACAUUGUUAAAAUUUGGCAAAUAAAAAACUACAUUCUUAUUAAAACUAUUAUAAUUUAUACGAUAACAUGCACGCUUGAUACUUUUCAUAACUAACCAUAACAUAAUUAAAAUUUUUAUCUGCCACUAGUGCUAUUCUCAAUAUUGGGUGAUUGGUGAUCACUUGCCGUCUCGGAGUGGGAUGCUUCAAUAUCACCUGCCGUCUGAGUGGGAUGCUUCAAUAGUCUGGAAGUUUUGUGCAAACCGCUAUGAUAUCCUCCCAUCUGUCUCGUUCUUUUUAAAAUUGCUCAUCAAAAAUUGAUGGAAUUUAUUCUUAUUCACCUUUGAAAUAAACACCUCUCCUAUCAGAUCCACAACCCGGUCAAGUUAAUAUCAUCAAGUUCCUCGACUGCUUUGCUACAACAUUUGGAUUUGACGGCACCACAUAGUUGUAGCAAAACAAUGGCACCAGCGCNNNNNNNNNNNNNNNNNNNNNNNNNAUUCCACGACAGCAGAUCUUUCGCUCUCAUAGCCAUACUAGCUCAGUAAAAGUCUUGAAUUUAUGUUGGGAAUAGGUUCCUGUGUACGGAUAUUGCUCACAUGCAUCUAAAACCACUGCUCUACAUGUCAGACUUUGAAGGUGUUAAUGAGAGAAUUAGGAACCUUAUCUGUACUUGUAUCUGAUAUGAAGCAAAAUUAGGGGAUAUUGAAGUUGAUGCCGCAUUUGUGCAACUUUCGUCUGUAAACCUUGCCACAUUUCCAUACCUCAUGGCUAACUAGACAGUUCUUGUAUCGACAUCCAAAUAACAACUCCUGUGGUCUAAACUGUGGAAGCACAACUGAGAUUAGACCAAGGUUCGGAGGUGUCGAUGAAUGAGUACACAUAAUAAGCUCUAUAUUGGAUGCCGAAGAGACAAAGUGACACAUAUGAAGCGGUUGGUAAGAGAAAGUUAAAGUUCAGCUCUUGAGUGGCGGCGGAGCGCAUGCAGAGACGCCGGUGGACAUGAUGAAUGAAAGUUGACAAGUUUGCAUAUAUCAGCACCACACUAUUUUCAAUCGAAUCCAUGAAAGUCACCUUGAGAUUGGAUACGAAAGACCUAUUUUUUUGACACAGAAACUCUUACUGAUACAGGUCAGGGUCAAUGCAACAGUGGUGUCACUGGGUGAUCCAUAUUGAACAUUGACAAUACUAACUAAAUACCAUACUCGAUCCUAAUCCAAGAGAAUCCCUAAAUUGAAUUAACUAACUCCCAAUAUCUACAGAUAUGCUUAUAUCCUUUUCACAAUCCCAAAAAUGAAGAAGAAAAAAGACUUACCCAACGCCAAAGCAUGUCAAUCAGAGUUAGUGAUCGGUGUUAACAGUGCAAAUGGACCGCGGCGUGGUGGACGAUGAGCUUCGACAAAUCUGCGAACAAGCCAAAGAAAGAGAGAGCGGUGUGGCACUGUGUGUUGAGAGAAGAGAAGAAGCGUAUGGCACUGUGUGUGAGAGAAAGAGAAGUGGAAGCGGAAGCGGUGUGUUGAGGAAAGAGAGUGGAAGCGGUAUGUUGUGUGUUAAAAAACGUUCAUAGUGAGGGAAGUUACAUUAACAACCUAUAUUUUUUCCAGAAUGCUUCUAAUAUGUAAAUACAUAGUUAUAAUGAAUUUUUUCUUUAUUUAUAAUUAAUAUUGAUUAAAUGGUUAUAUCUAUCUAUUAUUCUAUCCAAAUUCAAAGUUGUACAACUUUGGUGAUAAUCAUAACCUAAUGCUUAUGUGCAUUCUCUCUACACCUUUUUAUUUCAAAUAACUUUUCUAUAUAUUCAACUAAUAUAUAUAAUAGAAUAUCCAAUCAAUAUUAUAAUAAUUAUAGAUAUAUAUAAUAUUCAAUCAAUAUUAAGAUUAAUAAUAAUAAACAAUUAUAUAACAUCUACUUUUAUUAUCUAAUAGCACUUUCUUAGAUAUUCAACUAAUAUAAUAUAAUAUAUAUAUUAAUCAAUAUAUAUAUAUAAUUUCCCCAUAUUAUUAUAUAUAUUAUUAUAUUAUAUUUAUAUAAUUAUAAUUAUUAUAUAUAUAUAUAUAUUAAAAUUUGAAAAUUGAAAGUGAAUAUAACCGUUUGUUACAAGACAAUUAGAGUAAUUAAUUUUAAAUUAGAAUUAAAAAUGAAAUUCAUUUUAGACAUUUUCUUCUUUCAAAUGGUUUUUUUUAACAAUCCUACUUUUCAAUAUAGCAAUUAUUGCUAUUUUUUUAAUUAUACCCUUCAAUUAUUAGUCUGUGCGAUUAUACCCUUCAUAAUCGCACGGCUGAGGGGGUCGUGAUGCUCGUCAUCGUCGCUGUGGUCGGACAGUGGUGAUGUGGAGCGAUGGUGGGGUUCGCCUCUUGUCUUCUUGUGGGAUGGGGAACCGCGGUUUUUGCGAGGGGGAGUAUGACCCCUCUUUUUGUCGACCGUUCUUUGUCUCUGAGGUAGAGACGAGGAACGGGUCUUCUCCAAGGCUUCAAUGCGCUGGGCUUGUUGUAAGAGGAGAGUAUUCGUAUGGUUGAGAGCGGAGAGGACGACGACCAAUGCGGGAUCUGCAUUGGUCGACAAGGAUGCUGAAAGUUGAGGGACGACGGGCUCGUCCGUGGGGUUCUGGUUAAGUUGGUUCUCCAAAAGAGGAUCUUGAUGACCAGCGUCUUCGGAAUCAGGUGAGGCGGUUCGACCGUCUUUUCGGUCGAGCAAAUCUUGAAGUACGGGUGAGAUAUCUAGUCGGGUUUGUUGGCAGGAGAAGAAAAGUUGUUGUUGCCAGAAGGGAGAUUUGUGACACCCUUAAAUUUAUUAAUUAUUAGUAUUUAUUAUUAUUAUUAUUUUAUAAUAAUAUUGUGUGUCCUUUAAUUUAUUAUGUGUUUUGUGUGUUAAUUGGAAUUAUUUGAAUAUGAGUAUUAUUUAAAUAAUUGGAUUUUAUGAGUAUUAUUGUGUUUAUUUGUUAUUGGGCCUAAGUGGUAGUAAUAAGUAAAUGGGGAGUGUUAAUUACUAAGCCCAAUAAGAAUAGAAUUAGUAAGGGUUAAUGUAAGAAUUAUAGUUAGUAUUGUUAUUUUGGAGAAAGAGAGAAGAAUAGAGAGAAGAGAAGAGAAAAGGAAGAAGAAGAAGAGGCAACCCUAAUUCCAUUUCUUCAAGAGGUAAGGGGGAGAAUCUUCAUUAUUGUUCAAUUACAUGUUGUUAGGUAAUGAUUAGAGUAAUGGUAGAUGUUUGGGUAUUCAUGAAAUUGAGUUUUCAACUCACAAUGUUAGGGUUUUGAUUUGGGAAUUUGAUGAAUUGACUAGAUUUAGUGAUAUGUAUAGGUUCCCUAUGUUAGAUACAUGUUAAAGGAUGUAUUUGUGUUGUUAAAUCACUGCUGGAACAUGUUUUGGAUGGUGGGAAUCGGACUGGUGUAGUGCUGUUGCGCUUUGGCAGAGUUGCUGUCUGCGCAAGGGCGUUGAGCGCACGGGGUGCCGCUCAGCGCGAUGUGCUGUAUGCAGAAAAAUAUUUUCUUUAAUUAGGGAGUUAUGCUUUGGGGGUUUGAUACAUAUUGAUUUAUCAUUAAUUUACAUGAGUUUAGAUGUAUGAAUUGAUGAGCUUUGGAUCAUGUUUGAAUCGAUUUUCAUUGAUAAUGUGAAACUUGAGUUUUGAAGAAUAUGUUAUGUUUUUAGUUGAAUCUCAUAAUGUAAACUUGUUGGCUUGGUUUCUAUACAUGAUUCGUGAUAUAUGUUGGUAACCUAAGCUAUGUGUGAUGAUUAAUUCAUGGAUUACAUGCUAAUUGUGAAUUUGAUGUAUAUUAUGCCAUGAAUGGAUUUUGGUGAGGUAGUUAUGCUAAGUUGUUUCUAAUGCUUGUGAGUCACAUGAGUCUUUUAUGAUUGUGAGUCUUGAUUUUAUGCUUUGUGCUAAUUGUUACAUGUACGUGAACUAUUUGAAUUGAUGAUGUAUAUACUAAAUAUCCUAAUCGUGUACAUGCUUUAUAUGAAUGGAAAGUGAAGAAUAUGCUAUGUGAAUGUAUACUUGGAAGUGUGUUGAAUUCAUAAUUGUUGUAUGUGCUAUUCUUUAUUAUUACUUGAAUGACAUAUAAUUGUUUAAUGAUGUGAAUUCUCACCCUUCUGCUUAGAUGUUGCCUUUACAUGGGUAACGUGCAGGUUCAGAGGAUAGUGGUGCUCCGCACGAGGCUAGUGAGGAGUAGUCUUAGAUCUAUUUCCUAUCCUUAGGUAGUUGAUCAUUUGCUCUAAUCAUGUAACACGGGGUAACUGGAUAUUAUGUCUGACUUGAUAUAUUAUACUUUAUUUUUUCUUGUCUGGAUUUAUGUUAUGGAUGUGAUACUAUUCUGAUGUGGCAUUGUAGCCGAUGUAUGAAUCCUUGUUAACUGUUUAUGUUAUGGAUUUGCUACUUGUAUCCAAUGAUUAUAGUAUGGGAUGUAAUCAUUCAUAGUAUCCGAGUUUCUUUUAUUAUUCCGAUGUUUAAUGCAUGAUUUCGAUUUAUGACAUGAUAAUUCAGUUAUGUGUUAAAGAUUCAUGAUCAGUAG